UCCAUUGCAAUUGUACCUAAAACAAACAAAACAAACUCAUAAAAGAAAAUAAUUAGUUCACAAAAUCCUCACCACGCUCUCACACACUUUGAUCAUCUCACGCUUGGUUUCAUAAGUUGCAAGUUGGCUUGUAGUUCAUAAUGAAUUAAGGGGUGAGUCUACUCCUUGGUCAGAAUGGAUUCUUUGCUUGAAGACUCAAGAAAGUAAUGUCCAAAAUUGAACCAAGAAAUACUAUGAUUCAAAAACAAUAAAAGCAAAAAAAUAACGCUAACAGGAAGAAGCGAGCACAAAAACUAACUUACAAUCUAGUGGAAGAGUACUAGCUUGUCGAUUAGUUACUAGAGUCAAUAAACGAAACUAGGAAUCAAGAAUAAGAAACUAAAAAUCUGAAAUUUUGAGCCUAAGGUUGUUUUUUAGAGGGUGAUGACAUAGCAUUUGAUGACGUGGCAGUUUGGUGAUGUGGCAAUUUGGUGACGUGGCAAUUUGCAAUUUGGAUUGGUCAAAUUUUAAUUUGGAAUGGUGAAAAUCAGCUUUGGGAGGGAAAUAAUAAGACUUGGAGCCUCUUUUUCAAUUUAAAAAAGCUUUGACUUCCUUUCACCUUUUUGGAAAGACACCUUUUUGAAAGGUGGUUAGCUCUUUUCUCUUUUGUUAGUUUUGGAAUAAGCUUUUACUCUCUUUUGGUAAACAAGACUUUUGAAAUCCCUUUUGUCCCCUUUUCCUUUUGGAUGUCUUGGGAUUGUAUCUUUCAAGAAAAAUACAAAAUCACACUCCUUUAUUUACCUUUUUAGAUCAAAUCACCCCUUUUUGAAUGUUCUUGCUCAACAAUACAUGAAGAACAACAAGAACAUUCAAGAAUGGAAACCAACCCAAAUGAGCUCCAAAUUGAAUGAUUUUGGUUUCUUUUAGCUCACGUUGAACUCCACAACAACAAAAACACGUAUUCAAACCCACAUCCUCAACAACAAACAUCAACAAUACACUUUCAAGCCAUCAAUCCUAAAAAAAUAGCAACCAUCAAAGUUCAAGAUCAACUCAGAAGUGGCUCAAAAUUUGGAUCUUGACUCUUUUAGUGUUAGUGAAGAAGGGGCUAACACUAGAAACAACCAAAGCGCAGAAAAAUCUCCUAAAUCUAAGAUACAAAUUUUAUCCUAGACACAAAAAAUAGGACAGAAUAUUUCUUUUUGGAUUUUUGUUUUUUUCAACACAUCUUUUUUUUUAUGAUUUUUGAGUUAGUAGGCCCACUCAGAUACCAAAUGAUACCAGACGGUCCAAACAAGGCACAAAACAGACACAAAAAUUUCAUAAAUUGUCCACAAGAACAAGACACAAAAAUGAUAACAAGAUGACAACACAAGAACACACGAAUUGCAAUAGAUAAAAUGGAUAGAUAAAUUGAGAAAAGAGUGUAUAAACUCUAAGAACCCUAAGUAUAUUAAAUCUAAGGACCCUUAAAACCUACACAAACUAUCACCAAUAUCUUACAUAGACACAAGAGAGAUGUUACCUCCUCUAGCACCAACAUUUUAAGCCAACGAUUGCAACACAAGUGAUAUCCAUACUUGGUGUCCUCAUUUCGGUUUGGUGGCUAUUCCAAGCCCUACAACUAAAGGUGUUACACUCCUCACACUAGAGAGAGUUUGUUAAAAUAUUUUCAAAGUAUUACAUCAAUAAAUAACCAAAGAGUAAAAUCCCUAAUACUAAACUAUAUAUAGUCUUAUUACAAUUGAAGGACAAAAAAACCAAAACACCCUUAAUGAAGUGUAGGUAACAAUAGAGUGUAAAUUAGGCAUGUGAAAUCCCUAAAAAACCCUUAAUGAAAGUGAUCUUCAAUGAUCCAAGGCCGUGGUUCUUCAAGCAUCCCCCAAGACACCUUCCACACGUGGUUUUGCCUCAUGGAAUGCUCGAAAUGGCCUCUCUAUACAUGUUCUCUUCCCCUCAAUGUGACCACAAUUGAAUCCUUCAUGUGUUGGUCUCAAAUGAUGUCUUCCAAAGCUAGGAUAGCAAUUUGGCUCGUAUCACGUAGGAUAUAUGCUGUAUUUCUGCUGUUACCCCAUCCGUGUAUAGUGGUCUCCCCACUGCACUCAUAAUUUUACUCAAAGCUUUAGUUGGCCAGUAUCCUACCGAAAGUCCAAGAAAUGUAAUCUAUAAGAGAAUUAUGGUGAUACAGUUGGAUUGAAACUCAAAGUUCAACUCCCAUGCUUGAACUAUAAAUGGUUUAUUAUGAAAUACAUAUGUCCCCCAUUUAGAAUACAGUCACAAUUCUCCUGAGAUAAAAAUUGGAAUAUGAAGUAACCCUCAUGAUGAGUUAGGACUUAUGGCAUUUUUACCCCUUUCUAGACAGUUAAAAUAUAGCUCUCCAUGCUCUUGACAAAAGGGGUAUCUCCUAAGACAUAACCAAUCAAUGGAGUUUUCUAAUAUGCCUCCUGGGUCUUGAUAUCCUCCCUAUCAAUCUUCACAAGUUUUUUAUCAUCCUUGGUGAUUGGAGCAACAUACGUAGGAGUUUUCCCCUUGAUAGCCUGUCGAUUCUGUUGGUAAUCAUUUUUUAUUGUGGGUGGCGGUUGUGGGAUAGUAGGUAAUCAGAUAAUUAGAGUCAAUGAUUUGUCAUACUAGAAUCCCCAAAAUCUCAAAGUCGAAUUGACCCAUUUGAGUCUAAAUCAGUCAAUUUCACCUCCUCAUCCUCUGGAAUGGACAUGAAUUUUGGGGGUAGGUAGGUUCCAAAGGUUAUGGAAUGAAGCUAGGUCUUUGGAAGUCUACCGGGAUGACUAGUUUAGAUGGUGAUGUGGUGGUGGAGCAAGUCAUAUCUGCACCAGCGUAUUUUAGCGAAUCCUUGCUAACAUACACUGAGAGAAAAAUAUGAUCUCCUCUUGUCCUAUUUUUUUUUUCAAAAUUUUUUUUACGUUCUUGGUAAUUUAAUUCAAUUCAGUCCUUGUAUGAUCCUAUGGAAUAAUUGAUUUAUUCAUGCUUUAAAUCUCGGUUUCCCUUGUCUUAUUCAAGUGAACUUUGUGUUGUUGAUUUCUCAUGUUUAGAAUAUACUGAUGUUCAAGUUCAUGCUUUUGACAUGCUUGGUGAAAUGUCUAUGUCUUGGGUUGAACCAUGAUUCCAUACUAUAUUUUUAAGCUUAAAUGACAUAUUUUAUAAUCAUUCAGUGCUGGUGGGUUAUGAACACUCGAUACCUACGUGUUUUAUAUGAUUUCAGAUUUUCAAGUACUGAUUUAGUUAAACCGUGAAUAUUCCUAUUUAUUCUGUUGAUAUGAUCAUGAUGAGCAUUAUCAGAAAUAAUAUUCAGUUAACUUUAGUUCAGUUCAGUUGGGAGUAGGAUUUAGCACCAAGAGAACCCAGGAAUGGGGGCUCACCUGCCAGUAGAGGGUGACUCCUUAGUCCUUCGGGACACCAGUUUAGUGGAUCCAUUCAGCCAGUGUUAGUACCCUUGGCAUAGUUCUAACACUCUCCCUACUGAGGUUACAGGUUGGACCCUAAUUAGCUCAAAUUGAGGCAUGUAGGUUACAUGAUACCUCCCAUAAUUUUAGUCCAAUUAUUUAGACUAAGUACAAUUCAGUAUUACAUGAUCAGUAUUCAAAUAUCAAUUAAUCAGUCUACAGAUACCAGUUAAUCAUUCAUCGGUAUGUCUCAACUCAAGUUUGCUUUUCCAAAGCAUACAAAUUUUUAGUUAUUCAGUUAUUUACAGAUUAUCACAGAAACAUGUUUAUGCUUGGUAUUGCAUUCUCAGAUUUUAGAUGUUCAUAAAUAUAUGCUAGGUUAUCUCAUGCAUUUUAGUCAGUCCUUAUCUUACGUACCAGUACAUUCAAAGUACUAAUCGCAUACUUUUCUUUGCAUUAUGUUGUCUUAAACAUAGGUUCGGACGCUCAGUUUCCCGAUCGCUCUUAGAUAACUCAAUGUACUCAACAACAGUAGUCGUAAGUCUUCAUCCAUCGAGGACAUGAUUUGCUUAUUUAAGUUAUUUCAGUACUUCCUUAUGUUCAGCUUGUCAGAGUUUGUUGGGGGUCUGUCCAAUCAACUCCUCAGUUAGUUUAAAGGCUUUCAGACAAUCAGACAGUCAGUCGGCAGUUAGUCAGUUACCUGUUCGUUCAGUACUUUUCCAUUAUUUCAAAUAGACGAUUGGUUUUUAAUAUUUAUCAGAUAUUUUAGAUUUGUGAUGUAAUCAUCUCAAUAUUGAAAUUGGUAUUACUUCAGCAGUUUAUUUUCCACAUAUGUGUUUUAUUAUUAUUAUUUUUAGUACUUACAACAGGUACUAGCUCAUGGGUUAGCUUGUGAUCACUUGUGUCAGUAAGCACCAUUAUCGCGAAUAGGGGGUAGCUUUGGGUCAUGACAAAACUUGGUAUCAUAUUCUAAGGGUUUAGAGUGUCCUAGGAAGUCUGAAAGCCGCGUUGAGUAGAGUCUUGUGCAUGGGUGUGAAGCACAUCACACUUAUGGACAAGAGUCUAUGAAACAUUUUAGGUAAGUUUCCCUUCUUUCAGUAUUCAUGUUAUGAGAAAGAGCAUGAGCUCUAUUUAAGCUAUCUUUCUAACUUAUCCUUUAUUCUAUUUACAGAUAGUGCCUCCCAGAAGAAACAACAGAAGAAGGAAUGGGGAUCAUCCUAUACCCCUACCUGUUCAGGAAGUUUUCUUAAAUAAAUAUGUCUUGCAUGUCAAAUUCAGGGCUACUUUCACUACUAUAGCCCACUCCGUAGCUGCCCAGAACAACCAAAAGGCUAUUUCUCCAGUCAAUCCAGUGGCUAAUAUAGCUACAUUUAGGAUUUGGGAUUUUUUCAGAUGAAUCCCCCUUUGUUUUUUGGAUCCAAGUCUAAAGAAGAUCAGUAGGAAUUUCUAGAUAUGAUGCAGAAAGUGACUGAUAUUAUAGGUGUCACUUCGAGUGAGGGUGCAGAUUUGACUGCAUAUCUAUAGUAGGAUGUAGCUUACACCUAGUUUAAGUAGUGGAAGAAAAACCAUGGUGUUGAUGCAGGGCCGAUAGAGUGGGAGGAGUUUGCCACAACUUUUGUAGGCAGGUUAUUUCCCUUAGAGUUAAGGGAAGAUAUGGUUUAGGAUUUUAUCAAUUUGAAGUAGGUUAAAUGAGCAUAAAGGAAUACUCGCUUAAGUUCACUCAGUUGGCGAAGUAUGCUCUUUCUAUGGAUGCGGAAAAUAGGUCUAGAAUGAGUAAAUUUAUGUCGGGUGUACCUGAUAGUGUGGUGAAGGAGUGUAGGACUGCCAUGUUGAUUAAGGAGAUAGACCUAUCUAGGCUUAUUGUUUAUGCACAACAGAUUAAGGAGGAAAAACAUAAGGAGAAAAAGAGAGAGUAAGAGGGCCAGAACAGGUAGCUUUAACUUUUCUCAACCAAGAUUAGAAGGCGGUAACCGUUCUCAGUUUCAUCAAAAAAUUUUUGCCCCAACUCCAUCUUCAGAUAGUGCAUCAGUGCCUAAGUUCAAGCAAAAUAGUUGAGACAGGGCGCCAGGAUCUAAGUCCCAGGAUAGUAUGAAUAGUAGUCGUACUAAUCCGCUUUUUCAGAAAUAUGGUAGGAAUCAUCCAGGUGAGUGUAAGGCUAGUAGUGAUAUGUGUUUUAGUUAUGGAAAUCCAGGCCACAGGGUCAGGGAUUGCCUGAGGUCUGGUUAGCAGGGUCAGUCCAAUCGUUCUUCAGCUCCAGCAGGUUGCCCGACUCAAUAGGGUGCUACUUCUAGUGCCACCAGGGACAACGCCAAAAUAGGUUGUAGGCACUCCAGACUCGACAUGAUCAGGAAAGUUCUCCUGAUGUGGUUACAAGUAUAUUUCAGGUUUUCCAUCUUUAUACUUAUGCAUUGUUAGAUCCCAGAGCUUCACUUUCUUUUAUAACUCCUUAUAUAAUUGUUAAUUUCAGUAUCAGUACUAAAAUGUUAGCAAUACCUUUCUACGUGUCUAUCACAGUGGGUAAAUUUAUUAUAACCAGAUGGGUAUACAGAAAUUAACUGAUCACAGUAUCUCAGAAAAUCACUUUAGCUGAUCUUGUGGAGUUAGAGAUGACUUAUUUCAAUAUCAUUCUCUAUAUGGAUUAGCUCUACUCAUGCUAUGCCUCAGUUGACUGUAGAAAUAAAGUCGUUCAGGUUUAGUUUCCCAAUGAACCAAUUAUUGAAUGGAGGGGUAAUACCUUUGUGCUUAGGGGUCAGAUCAUUUCUUAUCUUAAAGCAAUAAAGAUGAUAUCUAAAAUGUGUGUUUACCAUCUUUUUUGUGUCAAGGACUCUAGUUUUAAGACUCCGAGUCUCAUCAAUUUCAGUAGUAAGGGAAUUUCCAGAUGUGUUCCUUGAAGAUCUUCCCAGAGUUCCUCCCAAAAGGGAAAUUGACUUCGAAAUAGAUCUCCUUCCAGUUACCCAACCUAUCUCUAUUCCACCCUAUAAAAUAAAUCCAUCUGAGCUUAAGGGGUUGAAAGAACAGUUAAAAGAUCUUUUAGAUAAGGAUUUUAUUAGGCCUAGUGUUUCUCCUUGGGGCGCUCCAGUUCAUGCGUAAGAAAGAUGGUUCCUUAGAAUAUUCAUCAACUACUAUCAGUUGAACAAAGUCACAAUCCAGAAUAAGUAUCCACUUCCCAGAAUUGAUGACUUGUUCGACCAACUUCAGGGUGCCAGUUAUUUCUCUAAGAUAGACCUCAGAUACGGCUAUCAUCAGCUUAGAGUCAGAGAAUGUGACAUUUCGAAGACAACUUUUGGAACUUGGUAUGGUCACUUUGAAUUCCUAGUUAUGUUUUUUGGACUAACGAAUACCCCUACAACUUUCAAGGACUUGAUGAACAGGGUGUUCAAGUAUUACUUGGUCAUGUUCAUCAUAAUCUUCAUUGAUGAUAUCCUUGUCUAUUUUUGUAGUGAGAAUGAUCAUGCAAACCAUCUGAGAAUUAUGUUGUAGACCCUUAGAGCUCAUCUGUUGUUCACCAAGUUCUGUAAUUGCAAAUUUUGGCUAAGAUCAGUAGCUUUUCUUGGCCAUAUUAUUUUUGGCGAUAGAAUUAGAGUUGACUCUCAAAAGAUUGAAGAAGCGAGAAAAUGGCCUAGACUUAUUUCUCCAUCAAAUAUUCAGAGUUUCUUAGGUUUGGAUGGCUAUUAAAGACGGUUUAUUGAAGGGUUUUCUUCUAUUGUAUCCCCCAUGUCAUGAUUGACUCAGAUAAAGUCAAAUUUUAGUGGUCAGAUUCUUGUGAGAAGAGUUUUCAAGAGUUGAAGACUCGACUCACUUCUGCCCCAAUCUUAACUUUGCUAGAUGGUACGGAUAGGUUUGUAGUUUAUUGUGAUACUUUCAGAAUUGGUCUUGGUUGUGUUUUGAUGAAGAGAGGCAAGUUCAUAGUCAAAUUAUGCUAGACUCUAUCUCAGUGGGUUAAUUAAGUUGUAUAAAAUUCCAUUGUCCAUAUUUUCAGAUAGAGGUACUCAGUUAUCUCUCACUAUUGGAAGGCUUUUUUAGAAGGGUCUUAGUACCCAAGUUCAUCUCAACACAAUAUUCCAUCCUUUGACAGAUGGUCGGGCAGAGAGGACCAUUCAGACCUUAGAAGACAUUUUGAUGGUAUGUGUUGUUGACUUUAAAGGUAGUUGGGAUGACCACUUACCUAUGAUUGAGUUUGCUUACAACAAUAAUUAUUACUCUAGUAUUCAAAUGGCUUCGUUUGAGGCUCUCUAUGGUAGGUGUAAUGCCCCGAGAGUAUACCCUGGAUGCCACACGGUGCCUACAACCUCGAAGGCCCACAAGAUAACCUAUGUUGGUACCUACUAUGAGAACUGAAUAAAAUAAUAGAGAACAUAUGCGGAAUUCAAAUGAAAACUCCAUAAGGUUUUAUAUACAAAAACAAAACUAUAUUGAAAUACUGAAAAUGCUUGUCUGAAAAUAAUACUGUAGGACUGUCAAUAAUAAUUGAUAAUUGAAUAACUGAAUGAAAGUGACCGAAAGCCUCUAACUGACUGGCUGUGGAGUUAAUAGGACAAGUCCCCAACUAACUCCAACUAACUAUUGAACUGAACUGAAAUAGAUAUAAAUGAUCCUCUAAACAUGAGGACUCACCAUUGCUACUGCUACGGAUGUGCUGGGGAGGUCUAGAUGUAAUCAGAAACCUGAGCGUUUGAACCUAUGAUAUGAGACAUCAUAGCGCAAGAAACGAGUACGCGAACAAUACUUUGAAUUUGUUGGUAUGAUAAAUGAGGUUAGGCUAACAUGAAUGGCUCAUUGCUCUUUUAACUUUUUGAGUUCUGUUGGAGCCAUUCUGUAUGAUGGAAUAGAGAUAGGCUAGGUAUUCAGAAGAAGGUCUAUUUCAAAUUUAAUUUUCCUUCCGGGAGAAACUCCAGAAAGAUCUUCGGGAAACAUGUCUGGGAAUUCCCUCUCUAUUAAAAUUGACUCUAGACUAGGAGUCUUAGAAUUGGAGUCUUAACUCGAAUAAGAUAGUAGACACACCUCUUGGAUAUCAUCUUCCUAGGUAUAAGGUACGAAAUAAGCUGACCCCUAAAUGCUGAAUUACUUCAUUUUCAUUCAAGGACUGGUUCAUUCAAAAACUAAAAUGAACAACUCUAUUUCUAUAAUUAACUGAGGCAUAGCAUGAGUAGAGCCAAUCCAUUCUGAGAAUGACAUCAAAAUCAAUCAUCUCUAACUCAACUAGAUCAACUGAAGUGACUCUCUGGGAUAUUGUGACCAGACAGUACUUGUAUACCUAUUUGGAUACAAUAGAAACACCUACUGGAGUGGACACUGAGAAGGGUUCUGCUAAAGUCUUAGGACUGAUACCGAAAUUAAUAUCUAUGUAGGGAGUUACAAAAGAAAGAGAAGCUCCAGGGUCUAAUAAAGCAUAAACAUGUAAAUAAAAGACCUAUAACGUACCAGUAACCACAUCAGGAGAACUUUCCUGAUCUUGUCGGGACUGAAGUGCAUAAAGUCUGUUUGGGCGUUGCACAUUGGUGGCACUGAAAGCAGCACCCUGCAGGGUCGGGUGAUCAGAUAGAACUGGGGGACGACUGGACUGACCCUACUGACCACUCUAUGGGCAGUCCCUGACCCUGUGGCCUGGCUUUCCAUACAUACCCAAAGCAUACAUCACUACCAUCUUUAUACACACCUUGAUGGUUUCUACCACAUUUCUGAUAAAGGGGAUUUGUGCGACCACUGUUCAUACUUACCUGGGGUUUAGGGCCUGGCGCCUUAUCUCUAUUAUCAUUUCUAAGCUUCAGAGAUGGCACACUAGCUGAAGAUAGAGCUGAGGCUGAAGUUUUUUUGCGGAAUUGAGGACGGUUACACUUCUGCUCUCUCUCUCUUUCCUUAUACUUCUGCUCCUCAAUCUGUUAUGCAUGAACCAUCAACCUGGACAAGUCCAUCUCCUUAAUCAACAUCGUGGUCCUACACUUUUUGACCACGUUAUCAACUACACCAAAGACAAACUUACUCAUCUUAGACCUGUCACCAGAUACAAUAUUAGGAGCAUACCUGGCUAACCGAGUGAAAUAAAAAGAAUACUCUUUCACACUCAUGUUUCCCUUUUUCAGAUUAAUAAAUUCCUACACCUUAGAUUCCCUUAACUCCAAAGGAAAGAACCUAUCUAGAAAAUUAGUAACAAACUCCUCCCACUCAACUGGUCCUGUAUCCGCCCAUCUAUCUCCCCUCCACUACUUAUACCAAGUAUGAGCAAUAUCUUGUAACUAGUAAGCACCCGACUCUGCACUCUCACUAGAAGUCAUACCCAUAAAAUCAAUUACCUUCUAAACCAUGUCAUGGAACUCUUGUGGAUCCUUAUCAGACUUAGAUCCCAAAAAUAGAUAAGGGUUUAUUUAGGGGAAAUCCUAAAAUUUAGAUGUGAUAGUAUUAGCCACUGGAACGACAGUCAGAUAAUUAUUCUGGGCUUCUACUGAGUGAGCUAAGGUAGUGAAUGUCGCUUGAAUUUGGCAUGAGAGAGAUAGACUCGUUCAGGGGAUCUUCCUGAAUAGGUAAAGGUGCGGGCUGUUUUCUAUUUCUCCUUUCAUUAGACUUUCUGGAAGGCAUAUUCUGUAAAUGAAAAGGAAAUUAGAUCAUAAAGGGAGUUUAAAUUGAGCUCAUGCUCAAUCGCAUGAUAUGAACACCAAAAGAAAGGAAACUUUUCCUAAAACGUCUUGUAGCUUUUUGCACAUAAGUGUGGCACGCUUCACACCCAUGAACAAGACUCUACUCAAUACGAAUUUCAGACUCUCUAGAACACUUUAAAACCUUAGGCUCUGAUACUAAGUUUGUAACGCCCAGAGAGUACACCCUAGACGCCACACGAUGCUUACAGCCCUGAAGGACCACAAGCUAACCUAUACUGGUACCUGCUGUGAGCACUGAAUAAAAUAAUAGAGAACAUGUGAGAAAUUCAACUAAAAGUGCCAUAAGGUUUUAUAUACAAAAACAAAACUAAAUCAAAAUGCUGAAAACUUCUGUCUGAAAACAAUACUAUAAAACUGUCAAUAACAACUGAUAGCUGAAUAAAUGACUGAAAGUGUCCAAAAACCUCUAAAUAAAUGGCUGUGGAGUUGAUGGGACAAGUCCUAACUAACUCCGACUAACUGCUGAACUGAACUGAACUGAAAUAAACAUAAAUGGUCCUCAGAACAUAAGAAAUCACCACUGCUACUACUGCGAAUGCACGGGGGAGGUCUAAAUAUUGUUAGGAACCUGAGCGUUUGAACCUAUGAUAUGAGACAUCAUAGCACAAAAAAUGAGUAUACAGUCAAUGCUUUGAAUGUACUGGUAUGCUAAAUUAGGUUAGGCUGACGUGCAUGGUUCAUAUGCAUGAAUGAUACUGAUUGAACACGUAGCAUAAGAUAAAUAAUGUAUAACAUGCGAGAAAUACUAUAAAAUUUGAGAAUGCAUGACCAAGCAUAUGACAUGAUACUGAAGUAGUCUAUAAACUAAAAUACUAAAAUACUAAUGCUGAACAACUAAUAACUGUAUGCCAUGGUCAAGCAAGUCUGAAAACUGAACUCUGAACUGAACACUAUACUGAGACUGUAGAAGCUAUCAUCUAAUUGAUAUGCCCCAAUAAGGUAAAUUGGGGUCCAACCUAUAACCCCAGUUGGAAGGGUGUCAGUACCAUACCAUGGGUACUAAUAUUGGCUGUUUGGAUCCACUGUAAUGGUGUCCGUAGGAUAAAGAGUUACCCUCUACUAGCAGGUGCGCUAGUGAGUAUGUGUCAACCCUUAACUGGUAGGUUAACAUCUCUAACCUACACCGAUUAUGUAGUUCUAGAAUGCGGGGACUACUAAUAAAGGUCACACCCUCAACUAGCAGGUGAGCCCCCAUCCCUGGGUUUGCUCGGUGCUGAAUCCUAGUCUCAACUGAACUGACUUAGACUACUGAACUAGAACCGAUCUAACUUGACUAAUAGAACAACUGGCUAAAUUGAUAAUACUUAUUCAUUCUCUGAAAACUAUUCUAAAAGUAUUAAGACUAAGUAAACAGCUAAAUUUUGGGUAUGAACAACCCCUAGGACUCGAUAAUAUCUAGAGUGGAAGCAUACCAAAGUUUCAAAUGCAUAAUAAAUAGUCAUUGUUCGAAAUUCAUCUCUUACGUAUUUCAUCAAACACUUGCAAGUCAUGGGUUAAACAUGGGAGUACUUUUAAACAUGGGGUAAUAUUAUGAUUUCAAUACUAAAAUCACAAAUUAAGGUAAUGACCAACAAAUACACAUUAUUCAACAUGUAGGGUUUAACUUCAACAACAAUAACCUUAUCAACAUGAUUCGUACACACAUACAAUGAAUUUUCAUAAAGGGCCAUAAAUAUAUCUCAUAAUAUCAUGUAAAAAUCAUAGAUUUAAAUUUCUUUUUAAACUUAAAAGUGGGUACUUGGACUCCAUGGGUGAAAGAAACCCAUGAAUGAACAUCUAACAUACCUGGGUUGAAGAAUUCAUAAAGGUUCUUGGAGGAUAUCUUGAGAAUUGAACUUGAAUGUUGAAGGGGCUACGGUAUGUUCUUGAUAGAGAAUUUGUUUCUUGGGGAGAAAUUAUGGUUAAUGAGGUAUAUCAUGCUUCUUUGGGGCUUUAAUUCCAUGUUUUGGAUAAAUUUGGGUGAUAGAAAAAGACCAAACUACCCCUUGGGGAUUUAAUACCGUAACUGGAAUACGGAUUAGAGCUUCAUCGUGAUGUGAUGACAGUGUCACUGCUAUACCCGCCGCGAUGCUGUACAAUCAUGGUGGGUUACUAGAAUUGAAAAUUGCAGAUUUUACCUCCACCGCGAUACGGUAAAGGUUCCACCAUGAUGCGGUAAAGGUUCCACCGCUAUUUCCACUGUGACGCGGUGGAAUCGCGGUGGCUUACUGGAAUAAAAAUCCAUUGCUUUCCAAAACUCGUCUAAAAAUUUCAAAACUUACUUGAGAUAUGCUACCUUCACCCUCUGAACAUGAAUCAACUUAAAACCCAUCGUCUCGGAGCCCGGAAGAUCAACUUAAAAUCCCCAAAGUUAUAGGGAGUCAAAAGUGACUACGUCCCUCAACACUUAGUCUUAUUUUAAGGUUCUAAGUGUCUUAAGCAAGUACUAAGGGCUGAGAUGGACUUAGAAACGUAUGGGGUACUACAGUAAGAUAUGUAGAUCUCCUAUUAGUUGGUUUGAAUUAGGUAAGGCUGCAGUGAUAGAGCUAGAUUCAGUGUUUGAGGCGAUAAAGAAGGUUCAGUUGAUUGGGGAGAGGCUGAAUAUGACCCAAAACUAUCAAAAAUCUUAUGCAGAUGUAAGAAAAAGAGAUCUUGAGUUUGAUGUUUGUGAUUUGGUCUAUUUGAAAAUUUCGCCUAUAAAAGGAGUGAAGAGAUUUUGCAAGAAGGGGAAGCUCAGUCCUCAAUAUGUUGGCCCUUAUAGAGUCUUGAACCAUUUUGGAAAGGUGGCUUACGAUCUUGAGUUGCCUGCAAAUUUAGCAUCCGUACAUCCAGUGUUCCAUGCUCUUUGUUAAAGAAGUGUAUUUGUGAUUCGGCUAUAGUUGUUCCUUUAAAAGAUAUGGGCGUUAAGGAUAACCUUUCCUAUGAGGAAGUCCCAGUUGAAAUACUUGAUCGUCAUAUUCGUAGGCUAAGGAAUAAAGAAGUCCCCUUCGUUAAGGUCCUUUGGUGGAAUUAGUUUGUUGAGGGAGCUACUUAGGAAGCAGAAAUAAAUAUGCGAACCAAGUACCCUCAUCUUUUCUCCGUAAACUCAGAUGCAGUUUGAGGUAAUGAUUUUUCCUUAGAUUGACUUUUUCUAUUCUCAGUUUCAGCUAUGUAACCAUUCCUAUGUCAUUAUAUGCAUUCACGAAAUUAGUUUAAUUCAAGUAUUAUGUUUAAGACUCAGUUGUGUAAUCAUGUUCCAAGUCAUGCAUGUUCAGUAUGUGAUCUCAUUUACCUUAGUGCAGUACUCUCAGUUUAACUAGUCUUAUUCAAGGAUGAAUGUUCCUAAGAGGGAGAUAUUGUAAUACCCCGUACUAAUCUUAGCUCGAUUCAGUUUUUAGUUGCAUGCAUUAGGGGCUUAAGGAUUGAAAUUUUCACUAAGUAUUGGGAACUUAGUAAUUUUUAAGACCCCUCUAACUUUGAGGGUUUUUAUUUUGGUCUUCCCAACCCUAAGAUGUUUUUUGAGUUGAUUCAUGUUCAAGGAUGUAAAAGUUUGUCUCAGGGGAGUUUUGAAUUUUUCGAACAAGGUUUGGGUUAUGUUUGGAUCACAAAACCAAUAGGUCACUGCGAUAAGCCCGCGACAUGGUAUUAGUACCGAUGUCCUACAGACUGUGUCACAGUGAGGGAAAUCAAUGAUUGCGGUAAGACCACAUCACGGUGAGCCUAUUGCGUCCAGUUUUGAAUUUAAAUGAUUGAGGGGCAAUUGGGUCUUUUCCUCCUUAACCCAAUCGUUUAUAACACAACUUGGGGAAUUAUUUACCUUUCUUCUCCAAAUUCCUCUCAAGAAAACCCUCCCCUUUUCAAAAGAACAAAAAAGUGAGUUCCUUUUCUUAAGAAAUCAAGAAUUCAAGUUCCCCAAGUUCAAGAACCUCCAAGAAAGCAUCAAGAUUAAUGUUUUUCUUUCAAGUUAAGAAGCUUAAGGUAUGUGGGGUGUUCAUCCAUCGGUCUCUUUCACCCAUGGAGCCCAAAACCCUCUUUUAAAUUAAAGAAUGUAUUUUUCAAUUAUUUUGGUAUUUUACAUUUUCAAGAUGAGUUUAAUUCAUGUUUUUCUUGGUAAUUUAAUUCAAUUCAGCCCAUGUAUGAUCCCACAAAAUAAUUUAUUUACUCAUGCUUUAAAUCUCAGUUUCCCAUGUCUUAUUCAAGUGAAUUUCAUGUUGUUGAUUUCUCAUGUUUAGAAUAUCCUCAUGUUCAAGUCCAUGCUUUCCACAUGUUUGGUGAAAUGUUUAUGUCUUGGGUUUGAACCAUGAUUCCAUACUAUAAUUUUAAUCUUAAAUGUCAUAUUUCAUGGUCAUUCAGUGCUGGCGGGUUAUGAACACCCGAUACCUGCGUGUUUUACAUGAUUUCAGAUUUUCAAGUAAUGAUUCAGUUAAACCAUGAAUAUUUUUAUUUAUGCAGUUUAUAUGAUCAUGAUGAGCACUAUAAAAAAUAAUUUUUAGUUAACCUUAGUUCAGUUUAGUACUAGUAUUAGUUCAGUUGGGAGUAGGAUUUAGCACUGAGCAAACUCAGGGAUGGGGGCUCACCUACCAGUAGAGGGUGUGACCCUUAGUAGAAAUCCUUGAGUUAUAGAACUAUGUAGCCAGUGUAGGUUUGAGAUAUCUACCUGUCAGUUGAGGAUUGACACAUAUCUCAUGAGAGCACCUGCUAGUAGAGGGUGACUCCUUAGUAUUUUGGGACACCAGUUUAGUGGAUCCACACAGCCAGUGUUAGUACCUGUGGCACGGUACUGACACCUUUCUAACUGGAGUUAUAGGUUAGACCCCAAUUAGCUCAGAUUGGGGAAUCUCAGUUACAUGAUACUUCCCAUAAUUUUAGUCCAGUUAUUUAGACUAAGUACAGUUCAGUAUUACAUGAUCAGUAUUCAGACAUCAGUUAAUCAGUAUAUAGACAUCAGUUAAUCAGUAUACAAAUACCAGUUAAUCAGUAUGUCUUAGCUGAUAUUUACUUGACCAAAGCAUACAAAUUUUCAGUUAUUCAGUUAUUUAUAGAUUUUCUCCGAAGCAUGCUUAGUCUUGCAUUCUUAGAUUUUACAUGUCCAUGCAUUUAUGCUCAGUUAUCUCAUGUAUUUCAGUCAGUCCUUACCUCACGUACCAGUACAUUCAAAGUACUGAUUGCAAUACUUUUCUUUGCGCUAUGUUGUCUUAUAAUAUAGGUACGGACAUUUAGUUUUCCGACCACUCUUAGACAACUUAGCGUAUUCAGAAACAUUAGUGGUGUAAUACCCCAUACUUUUUCCUAGCUUGAAAUCAUCUCAAGAAUGUUAGAAGCUUACUUUGAAAGAUGAAUCCACUUUUGUACAUGUGGUAUUUUCAAGAUUUUCACUUGUUGUCAUGUGGUAAAUUCAAUAAGAUUUCCAUCGAUAUAAAAUUUGCCUAAAUCCGAUAACCUGGUAAGAAGUUAUGACUAUUUCAAGUUACCGUCGUAAAACAACACCAUAUUAGUCAGUGGCGCACCGCGCCAUAAGCUAAAAUGACAAUUGUCCUUUUCCAGUGUCUCAGUGCGAUUUCCUCCACAUUGCACCAAAGUUCCAGGUUGCAAAAGAAGGGGCAAUACGAUGGCUCUGCAUCACGCCAUUCCUAAAUUACCCAACUGUUAAAAUCUAGUAACACGACGCGAUAGUGCCGUGUCGCGCCAAGGGUCCGAUUUGAGAAAUUUUCACUGAAAUUAAAUGAUGCAUCCAGGGUUAAAAAGGUCAACUUUUCACCCCUAUUUAAGCCCUUUAACACAUGAUUCAGCCACUUUUCACCCAAAAUAUACUAGUUUCUCUCAAGAACAAGCUAGGAUUUCCAUAGAAGAUUCUAUUUCAAGAAAGUUUCACCGUCAAUCUUCAUGAAAUCACGAACUAAGGUAUGUGUUGUGUUCAUUCAUGGAUUUCUUCUACCCAUGAAGCUCAAGAACAUUUUUUAUCUAUAAAUCAUGGUAUUUAUAUUGUGGGUUAUUUAUAAUCAUGUUGUUGACGUUGAUUGAUUUCAAAGUUGGAAUCUUUGUGCGUUUAUCAUGAUAUUAUGUUACCAUGCAAGAUAAAAUCUAUGAAUUUAGUUGCUUAUGAUGUGUAAUUUGAUGAAUUCACUUAUGCCCUAAGUUGUGCAUGCAAGGUGGUUGAUAAAAUGCUUGAAAAAGUAGAAAUUAUUCUUUAUAGCUCAAGACAUAAGCUAAAUGUGACAUGCUUGUCAUCCUCCUAUGUUUAAAUGGUUUCCAUGCUAUCAUUGUGAAAUGUGUAUGUUGUCGGAAUGGCCAUGAUAUUAGAAUAUGAGAUUAUAAUAUGAUUAUCAGCAUUCUUGUCCAUGUUAGAUAGUAUGAUAACCUUGUAAUUUAUGAAAUCCACAACUUAUUAAAUUAUGUAUUGUUGAUGUGGGUCUUGUACUUGAUAAAGUCAUGCUUCGUCAGUUCCCUUCUAUCGAGUCCUGGGGGUACUUGUACCCAAAACAUUAGCUGUGUGCCUAGAGCCAUGUCAUGUUUUCACGAUACUCUCAGUCAAGCUAUGAUCCUUAGAAUUCAGAUAGUCUUAUGACUCAGGAAAUCUUCAUGAUCUCAUGAACUCAGUCAGUUGUCAGAUAUCAGUAGUAUUCCAUCAGUCAACGGAAUUAAGUAACUCAGUCCAUGUUUAGUUAGUAAAUUAUGUUCAGUGUUUAUUCAGAUGGGAGUAGAAAUUAGCACCGAGCCAACCCAAGGAUGGGAACUCACAUGUUAUAUGAGGCUGUGAUUCUUAGAAGCAAUCUUUCCAUUCCAGAACUAUGUAGCCAGCAUAGGUUGAGACAUCAUAGCCUGCUAUAUGAGGGUAAAUGAGGUGCCUUAGCCUGCUAUAUGAGGGUUCCCACCGUUCUCACUAGAGUUACCUGUUAUAUUAGGGCCACUCACAUGUUAUCCUUACCAGUGGCGCGGUAUUGACACCCUUCUAAUCAGGGCAUAGAUUGGACCCCAAUUCAAAUCUAAUGCAUCAUUUAGGGCAUGUCGAUUAGAUAACUACUUCUCACAGUCUCAACAUUAUUCUCAGUAAAAGAACUCAGAUGGUUCUUCAGAAUUCAGGAUUGUCAGAUAUAGUACGAAACUCAGCUAGUUCUAUCAGAUUCAGGACUAUCAGCUACAGUCACUCAUGUUAUCAGUUAUUAGAAUUCAGUCAUCAGUUAUGUUAGUCAUCAACAUACUCAUGUUAUCAUGAUUUCAGAUAUAGUUACUAUGUAUGCAUGCAUGUAUUCUCACAUUCAUAUUAGUCAGUUAGCCAGUAUUGUUCAUGCAUAUGAACCCAUGCAUUCAGCCUACCUCACAUGUAUACCAGUACAUUCAAAGUACUGACGCAUUUGUGCUAUUGUGUCUUAUACCAUAGGAUCAGAGACACGAGCUCCAGAGCAUCAGUAGAUUCCAGAUAUCAGCAGUCAGAGUUAGCAGUGAGUCCUCAUCCUUCGAGGUCAUGAUUAUUUCCCUAUUAUCUCAUUAAUUAGUUUAUUAGUUGGAGUUAGUUGGGGACAUGUUCUAUUAACUCCUUACUCAGACAGUUCAGUCAGUUAGAGGCUUUCCAAACUAUUAUGUUCAGACAGUUAUUUCAGUGUUUUGGGGUAUUUCAUACCUCAUUUAGAUGUUAUGUUUUACUUUAGUUAUUUGAACCUUAUGGCCUUUCAGUUCAUGUUUUCAUAUUAUUCAGUAUAUUAUGUAGUAUACAGGUACAAAUAUCAGUCAUGGGUUAGCUUGUGGUCCUUCAGGGUCAUGAGCACUGUGUAGCAUUUUGGGUACCAGAUUCGGGGCGUUACAAACUUGGUAUCAGAGCCAGGUUCAAUAGAGUCCAAGGAAGUCUGAAAGCCGCAUCUAUUAGAGUCUUGUACAUGGGUGUAUUGCAUGCCACAUUUAUGUGCAGGAGGCUAUAAGAUGUUUUAGGAAUAGUUUCCCUUCUUUCAAUAUUCGUGUCGUGCCAGUGAGCAUAAUCUCAAUCUAAUCUCUCAGUCUAAUCUGUUUCUCCUCCUUAUUUCAGAACAUGCCUCCCAAGAGAAGAACCUAGACUGUCCAAGAAGAUCCUUUGGACGAACAUGUUUCUCAUGUGGAGUUCAGGGCCGCAUUCAUUUCUUUUGCUCAGUCAGUUGCUGCUCAGAAUGAAUGACCAGCUGUCGUUUCGGCCAACCCAGCGGCUAAUUCAGUUGCAGCCAGGAUUUGAGACUUCACCCGAAUGAAUCUUCCAUCCUUUCUUGGGUCUAAGACAAACGAAGACCCUCAGGAAUUCCUAGAUCAGGUGCAGAAGGUUACAAACAUAAUGGGGGUUAUGUCUAGUGAGAGUGCUGAGCUAGCUGCAUAUCAAUUGCAGGAUGUGUCUCAUACUUGGUUCAAGAAGUGGAAGUUAGAGAGGGCAGACGAUGCAAGGUCAGUUGAGUGGGAGGAGUUUGCUUCAGCAUUCCUAGAUAGAUUUUUUCCCCUAAAGCUUAGAGAAACUAAGGUGCUAGAAUUUAUCAAGCUCAGGCAGGGCAAUAUGACAGUAAAAGAGUAUUAUAUUAAGUUUACUCAAUUAGCCAGAUAUGCCCCUCAUGUGGUUGCAGAUAGCAGGGAAAGGAUGAGUCAGUUCAUUUUAGGGGUGAAUGAUAGCGUGGUUAAUGAGUGCAGAUCUGCUAUGCUAAAUAGUGACAUGACUUUAGCCAGGCUCAUGACUCAUGCUCAGCAGAUAGAGGAGCAGAGUAUUAAGAUGAGGGAGAAGAAGAAUAAGAGAGCUAAGACAGGUAGUUUCAACUUUGCUUAGCCUAAGUCAGAAGGAGGAAUCCGUUUUUAGUUUCAUCCUAAGUCAUCAGUUCCAGCUCCUUCUUCAGCCAGUGCUCCAGUUCCUAAGUUUAGAGAGGGUAACAAAGAUAGAGCGCUAGGCUCUAAGUCCCAGGGCAGUGUUAGCAGUGCCCAUACCUAUCCUCUUUUCCAUACAUAUGGCAAGCACCAUCAGGGUAUUUGCAGAGCUGCCAGUGGUAUUUGUUUCAGAUGUGGAAAGCCAGGCCACAAAGACAGAGACUGUCCUCAGCCAGGUCCUUAGGGUCAACAGAAUCGCUCCUCAGCUCAGUCCGAUCACCCAAAUCAGCAGGGUGCCACCUCCAAUGCUACUAGUGAGCAACACCUAAAUCGUCUCUAUGCUCUUCAGUCCUGUCAAGAUCAAGAAAAUUCUCCUGAUGUGGUUACCGGUACAUUACGAAUCUUUCAUGUGCAUGUUUAGGCUUUGCUAGAUCCAUGAGCUUCUUUGUCUUUUGUCACUCCUUAUAUAGCAGUCGAUUCCGGAGUCAGUCCCAAAAUUCUAGCAGAUCCCUUUUCACUCUCUACCCCAAUAGGUAAAACCAUCAUAGCCCGGCGGGUAUACAAGAACUGCCCGAUUAUGAUAUCUCAAAAAGUCACCUCAGCAGACUUAGUCAAAUUAGAGGUGACUGAUUUUGAUGUCAUUCUCGACAUGGAUUGGCUUCAUUCCUACUAUGCCAUAGUCGACUGCAGAAAUAGAAUAGACCAGUUUUAAUUUUUGAAUGAACCCAUCCUAGAGUGGAAGGGUAGUGUAUCCGCUUUCAGAGGUCAGCUUGUUUCCUACCUUCAGGCAUGAAAAGUGAUAUCUAAAGGAUGUGUUUAUCAUUUUUUUCGAGUUAAGAACACUAGUUCUGAAACUCCCAGUCUUGAAUCAGUCCCAGUAGUGAAUAAAUAUUCAGAUGUCUUUCCCAAAUAUCUUCCAGGAAUUCCUCCUAAAAGGAAAAUAGACUUCGGUAUUGAUCAUCUUCUAGAUACUUAGCCUAUCUCUAUUUUGCCAUACAGAAUGGCACCAGUAGAACUCAAAGAACUGAAAAAAUAGUUGAAGGAUCUCUUAGAUAAGGGAUUCAUCAGACCAAGCAUUUCCCCAUGGGGCGCUCCAGUAUUAUUCGUGCACAAGAAAGACGGUUCUCUCAGAAUCUGUAUAGACUACCAUCAACUCAAUAAGGUCACAAUCAAGAACAAGUAUCCUUUUCCCAAAAUCAAUGACUGUUUGACCAACUUUAGUGUGCCAGUUAUUUCUCUAAGAUAGAUCUCAGAUCCGGCUAUCAUCAGCUCAGAUAUUUCUCUAAGUCAUGUCAUUUGGUCUUACCAAUGCCCCAGCUGUUUUCAUGGACUUGAUGAACUGUGUGUUUAAGCAGUACUUGGACAUGUUCGACAUAGUCUUCAUAGAUAAUAUUCUGGUCUAUUCCCACAGUGAUCGCGAUCAUACAGACCAUCUUGGGACAGUACUUUAGACUCUCAAAGAUCAUCAACUAUUUGCCAAAUUCAGUAAGUAUGACUUUUGGCUAAGGUCAGUAGCAUUCCUUAGUCACAUCAUUUUCGGUGAUGGCAUUAGGUAGAUCUUCAAAAGACUGAAGCAGUAAAAAACUGGCUUCGCCCUGUCUUUCCAUCAGAUAUUAGGAGUUUCUUGGGUUUGGCUAGCUAUUACAGACGGUUUGUUGAGGGAUUUUCUUUUAUUGCAUCCCUAUGUCCAGAUUGACUCAGAAGAAAAUCAAGUUUCAGUGGUCAGAUCCUUGUGAGAAGAGUUUUUAGGAGUUGAAAACUCGACUCUCCUCAGCUCUAGUUUUAGCUCUUCCAGAUUGUCUAGAUGGGUUCGUCGUGUAUUGGGAUGCAACUAGAGUAGGUUUGGGUUGUGUCCUCAUGCAGCAUGGUAAGGUCAUAGCCUAUGGCUCCAAACAGCUUAAAACCCACGAGAAGAAUUAUCCUACUCAUUAUCUUGAGGUAGCCGUUGUAGUCUUUGCCUUGAAGAUUUGGAGGCAUCAUCUUUAUGGAGUUCAUGUAGAUGUCUUCACAGAUCAUAAGAGUCUUCAGUAUGUUUUUUCUCAUAAAGAUAUCAAUCUUCAUCAGAGAAGGUGGUUAGAGCUCUUGAAAAAUUAUGACAUGAGUGUCCUCUAUCAUCCGUGCAAGGAUAAUAUAAUGGCCGACGGUCUCAGUAGACUAUCUAUGGGUAGUGUUGCUCAUGUGGAUGACAGUAAGAAGAAGUUAGCUCAGGAAGUACAUCAACUUUCCAGACUAGGCGUUUGCUUAGUCGAUACAGAUGAGGGUGAUAUAUGGGUUCAGAGUAGUUCAGAAUCAUCUCUAGUUUCCGAGGUGAAAGAAAAGCAAGAUAGAGAUCCCAGCCUUGUCAAGUUAAAAGAGUUAGUUCAAGAUCAGAAAGUAGAGGUUUUCUCCCAAGGGGGAGAUAGUGUUUUCCGUUGUCAAGGUCAUCUCUGUGUUCCAGGUGUAGAUGAAUUAAGGCAGGGAAUUCUUGAAAUAGCGCAUGGUAAGCGCUACUCUAUUUAUCCAGGGGCCACAAAGAUGUACCGCGACUUGUGGGAAGUCUAUUGGUGGAGUAGGAUAAAGAGAGAUAUUGCAGAGUUUAUGGCUAAGUGAUCUACACGUCAGUAGCUUAAAAUAGAGCAUUAGAAGCCUAGUGGUCUUAUGCAGGAUUUGAUUAUUCCUACUUAGAAGUGGGAAGAAAUGAAAAUGAACUUCGUGAUGGGUUUGCCUCGAACUCAUCAUAAGCAUGAUUCAGUCUGGGUCAUUAUAGACAGAAUGACCAAAUCAGCCCAUUUCCUUCCAAUCCAUACCUUUUAUUCAACCGAGGAUUACGCCAAACUCUACAUCAAGGAGUUGGUCAAAUUGUACGAUGUUUCGCUAUCAAUUAUCUCAGAUAGAGGUACCCAGUUCACCUCUUAUUUCCGGAAAGCGUUCUAAAAGGGUCUUGGUACCCAAGUUUAUCUCAGUACAGCCUUCUAUCCUCGGACAGAUGGUCAAGCAGAAAGGACCAUUCAGACUCUAGAAGAUAUGCUAAGGGCGUGUGCAAUUGAUUUCAAGGGUAGUUGGGAUGACCAUUUGCCUUUGAUUGAGUUUGCAUACAACAACAGCUAUUAUUCCAGUAUUCACAUGGCUCCAUUCGAAUCUCUCUAUGGUAGGAUAUGUAGAUCUCUGAUUGGUUGGUUCGAAGUUAGUGAGGCCUCAGUUGUAGAGCCUGACUUGGUAUUCGAUGCCUUAGAAAAAGUACAGUUGAUUAGAGAAAGAUUCUGGGUUGCUCAGAGCUGACAGAGGUCUUAUGCAUAUGUUCAUAGAAAAGAUCUCGAGUUCGAGAUUGGUGACUAUGUCUACCUAAAGAUCUCUCCUAUGAAGGGAGUAAAGCGGUUUGGCAAGAAAGGGAAACUCAGUCCUCGAUAUAUCGGUCCCUUUAAGAUUCUCAGUCGAUUCGGCAAGGUAGCUUAUGAGCUUGAAUUGCCUUCAGAUCUAGCCUCAGUUCAUCCAGUCUUCCAUGUUUCCUUGCUCAUGAAGUGUAUAGGUGACCCAUCAGUUGUAGUCCCUAUUCAGAGCAUCGAUGUUCAGAACAACCUCUCUUAUGAAGAUAUUCCAAUCAAAAUCCUAGACUAUUAGACUCGUAUAUUGAGGAACAAAGAAGUCCCUCUAGUUAAAUUUCUUUCGUGAAAUUAGUCCGUCGAGGGAGCUACUUGGGAAGCAGAAGCAGAUAUGCAUACCAAGUAUCCUCACCUCUUCUUCGCCAACUCAGAUUAAGCUCAAUGUAACAGUUCUCCUUAAGCUUACUCAGUUUCAUGUUCAGUGUUCAUCACAGACUUGGUAUCAAGUACCAUUGCAUAUUCAGUCAUGAAUUCAUGUAUCGGUUCAGUUAUAUAAUUAUGCAUCAGAUAUGUAUUCUCGUUAGGAGAAACUUAGUUCCUCAGAACGCCUAGUCAUGCAUUCAUGAAUCAGUUACACAUGCAUCAGAUAUGCAUGUUCAAUAUGAUAUAUUCAGUUAUCAGUCAUGUCAGUUAUGAGAUCUUGUUCCAAUUAUUCAUGUUCAGUAUAUAUGUUGGUUAUAUUCUAACCUCACUCUCAGUCUCAUUUGAGGAUGAAUUUUCUUAAGAGGGAGAUAUUGUAAUACCCCGUACUUUUUUCUAGCUUGAAAUCGUCUCAAGAAUGUUAGAAAUUUACUUUGAAAGAUGAAUCCACUUCUGUACAUGUAGUAUUUUCAAGAUUUUCACUUUUUGUCAUAUAGGAAAUUCAAUAAGCUUUCCAUUGAUAUAAUAUUUGUCUAAAUCCAAUAACCAGGUAAGAAGUUAUGACUAUUUCAAGUUUCCAUCAUAAAACAAUGCCAUAUUGGUCAGUAGCACGCCGCGCCAUAAGCUAAAAUGGCAAUUGUCGUUUUCCAAUGUCUCAGCAUGAUUUCCUCUGCAUCGCACCAAUGUUCCAAGUCAGAAAACAAGGGGCAAUACGAUGGCUCCGCGUCGCGCCAUCCCUCAAAUUUUCAAUUGUCAAAGUCCAGUGACACGGCGCAAUAGCACUGCAUUCAGGAAAUUUUCACUGAAAUUAAAUGACGCAUCCAAGGUUAAAAUGGUCAACUUUCCACCCCUAUUUAAGCCUUUUAACACGUGAUUCAACCAUUUUUCACCCAAAAUAUACUAGUUUCUCUCAAGAACAAGAUAGGGUUUUCAUCGAAGAUCCAAUUUCAAGAAAGUUUCACCGUCAAUCUUUACCAAAUCACGAACUAAGGUAUGGGUUGUGUUCAUUCAUGGAUUUCUUCCAUCCAUGAAGCUCAAGAACCUUGUUUUAUCUAUAAAUCAUGGUAUUUAUGUUGUGGGUUAUUUAUAAUCAUGUUGUUGACGUUGAUUGAUUUCAAAGUUGGAAUCUUUGUGUGUUUAUCAUGAUAUUAUGUUACCAUGCAAGAUAAAAUCUAUGAAUUUAGUUGCUUAUGAUGUGUAAUUUGAUGAAUUUACUUAUUUCCUAAGUUGUGCAUGCAAGGUGGUUGAUAAAAUGCUUGAAAAUGGCAGAAAUCAUGCUUUAUAGCUCAAGACAUAAGCUAAAUGUGACAUGCUUGUCAUCCUCCUAUGUUUAAAUGAUUUUCAUGCUAUCAUUGUGAAAUGUGUAUGUUGUCAGAAUGGCCAUGAUAUUAGAAUAUGAGAUUAUGAUAUGAUUAUCAUCAUUCUUGUCUAUGUUAGAUAGUAUGAUAACCCUGUACUUCGUGAAAUCUAUAACUUAUUAAAUUAUGUGCUAUUGAUGUGGGUCUUGCACUUGAUAAAGUCAUGCUUCGUCAGUUCCCUUCUAUCGAGUCCUGAGGGUACUUGUACCCGAAACAUUUGUUGUGUGCCUAGAGCCAUGUCAUAUUUUCAUGAUACUCUCAGUCAAGCUAUGAUCCUUAGACUUCAGACACUCUUAUAACUCAGGAAAUCUCUAUGAUCUCAUGAACUCAGUCAGUUGUCAGAUAUUAGUAGUAUUUCAUUAGUCAACGGAAUUUAGUAACUUAGUCCAUGUUCAGUUCAGUAAAUCAUGUUCAGUAUCUAUUCAAAUGGGAGUAGAAAUUAGCACCGAGCAAACCCAAAGAUGGGAACUCACCUGUUAUAUGAGGGUGUGAUUCUUGGAAGCAAUCCUUGCAUUCCAGAACUAUGUAGCCAGCAUAGGUUGAGAUAUUAAAGCCUGCUAUAUGAGGGUAGAUGAGGUGGGUUAGCCUGCUAUAUGAGGGUUCCCACCGUUCUCACUAGAGUUACCUGUUAUAUUAGGGCCACUCACAUGUUAUCCUUACCAGUGGCGCGGUAUUGACACCCUUCCAAUCAGGGCAUAGAUUGGACCCUAAUUCAACUGUAAUGCAUCAUUUGGAGCAUGUCGGUUAGAUGACUAUCUCCUACAGUCUCAGUAUCAGUCUCAGUAAAAGAACUCAGAUAGUUCUUCAGAAUUCAGGACUGUCAGAUACAAUCAACUCAGAUACAUUAUGGAACUCAGCUAGUUCCAUCAGAUUCAGGACUGUCAGAUAUAGUCACUCAUAUUAUCAGUUAUCAGAAUUUAGUCAUUAGUCAUCAGCAUACUCAUGUUAUAACGAUUUCAGAUAUAGUUACUAUGUAUGGAUGCAUGUAUUCUCACGUUCAUAUUAGUCAGUUAGCCAGUAUUGUUCAUACGUAUGAACCCCAUGAUUUAGCCUACCUCACAUGCAUACCAGUAUAUUCAAAGUACUGAUGCAUUUGCACUAUGGUGUCUUAUACCAUAGGUUUAGAGACAUGAUCUCCAGAGCAUCAGUAUAUUCCAAAUAUCAGUAGUCAGAGUUAGCACUGAGUCCUCAUCCUUUGAGGACAUAAUUAUUUCCCUAUUAUCUCAUUAAUUUAUUUAUUAGUUGGGGACAUGUCCCAUCAACUCCUUACUCAGACAGUUUAGUCAGUUAGAAGCUUUCCAGAUUAUUAUGUUUAGACAGUUAUUUAAGUUGUUUUGGGUAUUUCAUACCCCAUUUAGAUGAUAUAUUUUACUUUAAUUAUGUGAACCUUAUGGACUUUCAGUUCAUAUUUCUACAUUAUUCAGUAUACAGGUACAGAUAUCAGUCAUGGGUUAGCUUGUGGUCCUUUGGGGUCAUGAGCACCGUGUAGCAUUCUGGGUACCAGAUUCGUGGCGUUACAAGUGGUGAGUCCUUAUCCAUCGAGGACAUGAUUUGAUUAUUUCAGUUAUUUUAGUACUUCCUUAUGUUCAAUUAGUUAGAGUUAGUUGGGGGUCUGUCCCAUCAACUCCUCAGUUAGUUUAGAGGCUUUCAGACAGUCAGUCAGGCAGUUAGUAAGUUACCAGUUCUUUCAGUACUUUUUCAUUAUUUUAGAUAGACCGUUGGUUUUCAGUAUUUAUCAGAUGUUUUAGACUUAUGAUGUAAUCACAUCUCAGUACUCAGAUUGGCAUUACUUCAGCAGUUUAUCUUCCAUAUACGUAUUUUAUUAUUAUUUUAUUCAGUACUCAUAAUAGGUUCCAGCUCAUGGGUUAGCUUGUGGUCACUUGUGACCAUAAGAACCGUUGUUGCAACUAGGGGGUAGCUUCAGGUUGUGACAUCAUUCUAUAUAAAGGAAUAAAAAUAGGCUUGGUGUUCGGCUCAACAACAAUAGCAAAGCUAGUAUCAUGAUCUAGAGGUAUAUCAAGCAAAUCAUUAGGAAACACAUCUUAAAACUCCUUAUCAAUUCAGACAGAAUUCAAAGGAAGUGGUGAAGCAAUACUAGUAUCGUGAACAUAAGCCAAAUAAUACAAACAUACCUUCUCUACUAUACGAGUUAACACAUAGAAAAGAUAAAACUCUCUUCGAACCCAAAUUAAGGAUACCCUUCCAUGACAACCUUGGAACACCCAGAGAAAAUAAAUUCAUGAUCCUAUGUGCUAGAGAAACUUAAGUCACAGUCUUAGCAUAGCUAACCAAAACAUACCUAAUAUAACAUCAAAAUCAACCAUAUCUAGGAUAAUCAAGUCUAUCAAGAUCUUACCCCCCACAAAGGUCACUAUACAAUAUCAAUAUACCUAAUCCACCACUAAAAACUCUCCUACUGUGGUAGAAAUACAAAGAGUCAUAACAAGAGUAUCAUAUGUAGCAUUAAAACCAGUAGUAAAGUAUAUAGACACAUAGGAAAAUGUUGAACUAGGGUCAAAUAACACAAAAACAGAACGAUGGACCUUUGAUAACUACAUCAGACGCCUCAACCUCAGGUCUCCUAGGUAUACAUAACACUAACCACGUCCACUCCCAGACUAAGCAACCUCGCGUUCCCUACCAUUAGCUCCCUGAGCUCCAUCUCGAGCACCUCUAGUACUAUCCCUACCAUCCUGCGAACCAACUUUAACUACAAAAUAGGAGAAAAAAAAUCUAAAGUUGAGAACUCUGCUGGGAAGAACUAUACACUUGUCAAGGAUAGUCCCUUGCCAUAUGAAAAAUCUCUUCACAUAUGUAACAAGCUUUGCCAUCAGAUGCAAGCAGUGGGCCCCUCGAAGAACUAGAGCAAUCUCCCUAUUCUGAUAAGCUAAGACUGAAGCCUCUACCUACAUGAGGUGAUCCCUAACUACCUAAUGUCAUAGAAACCACAAACCUAAUAUCUGAACCUUGUAAAGUUGCAUGCAAUGGUCUACCAUGGUAAAUACGAGAACCUCUUCCUCAGAAACCCCUACCUUUGAUACAUGUCUAUUAAACUUAGGGGUGUGCAAAAAUCAAACUGACCAAUAAAUCAAAUCGAUAAAAAUAUUAUUAGUUUAUUGUUAUUGGGUUAUUGGGUUAAUAGUUCUUUAGUGGUUUCAUAAAAAAAAAUUAUUUGGUUAUUGAUUCGGUUCGAUUUUUUCUUAUUAGGUUAUUGGGUAAAGCGAUAGCCCAAUAUAUAUAUAUAUAUAUAUAUAUAUAUAUAUAUUUCAAUUAUACAAACUCCUAAUUUCUCCUAACAACAUUUAGCCCAACCUUGAAGAUUCUUGUAAAUUAAAACAUAUCAUGAAGGAUUUUUUGUUACAAUUAAGAUUCGAUUUUUUUUCAUGUUAGUUACUAAUAUUUCUAUUUUAUGAGUAUUUUCUUAUCAGUUAAAUCAAAAAUUGAACCGUUAAGGACUAAAAAUCAAUAAACCAAAAACUGAUAAGAAAUAUCUUAUUGGUUUGGUUUUUGGUUUAGCAUAUUUAAAAAUCAAAAAUCGAUAAAUCAAACCGAUAAUAUAUAAAAUCGAAUUGAAAUGACCGAUGCACACCCCAAAAUGAACUCACCCUGUUGAUGGGUAUUCUUAGCACCAUCAUCACUCUAAGUACCUUGGUGAAUCGACUCAAGCUUCUUGGUAUGCUCAACUAAACUCUGAAAAACGUUCUCGACACUACUAUUUGAGUUGUAGCCAACUGAUAAAAACCUGCUAAUCCCUUGACAAACUUCUUAGUCCUCUUUGACUCAGUUAGAUAGUGGAAUCAGAAUAUAUAGAUAUCGCUUAAAAAUAUGCCUCAUACUUAGCAAUAGUUGUGGAGCCCUGCUCUGGGUGAUCAAACUCAUCUUUCAUCUGAUCCCUCAAAUCGAAAGGCAUAAACCUAUCUUGAAAAGUCUUUGAAAACUGAGUCCAUGUCAUAUCAGAAGAAUAUAAUGGUCUGCAACUAAUAAGAGGCCUCCACAAUUGUCUAGCCAUAUUAGUUAACUGAUUAAUAAUAUAAGAAACUCCAUGGGUCUCUAGGGAUCCGAGGUUGGACAACCUUCCUUAAUAGUCAAACAAAAAUUCAUAGGCAUCCUAUCCAAUGGAACCAUUAAAAUUAGGAGGAUCCAAAUGAAUGAAUCUCUCAAACUUGUUUUGACCCUAAGAAAACAUCACAGGGGAUGAAGCAACAAGAGAAACAGUGAGCCUAGUAGGCAUUAAAUCAACAGGGGUACCAUAGAAGAUGGAUGUGCCUCUUAAGUCAGAAUACCUUAAGUCUGUCCUAGCAUCUAAAUACUUCCUAAAGUUUGAGAAACACCUAGUACACUUAAAGAAAAACCAGCCUGAGGAGCAUCAUCCAGACAAUUCAACAGAUAAACCAAUAAAUCUUGUAAUAACGGGGUAACAGUUGAACCCCAUGGGACCUAAGUUGGCCUUGCAUCCUCAGUGUAAUAAUCCUCAGCAUACUCAAGCUCAUGCUUGGGAGAAGUAGCCCUAGUACAUCCUUUAAGAGGGACAACUCCUUAUGCCCGCCAUCUACCUCUGGGUUAACCAUGACCAGACUGAGAAAUACCAAGUUUACUCAAAGAAACACUAGCCCGAGGAGCGCUAUCCAGAUAACUGAACAGACAAAUCAAUAAAUCAUGUAGUAUCGGGGUAACAGCUGAAUCCUGUGGGACCUAAGUUGUCCUUGCAUCCUCUGUAUAAUAAUCAUCAGCAUACUCAAGCUCAUGCUUGGAAGAAGUAUCCCUAGUACAUCCUCUAACAGGGACAACUCCUUGUGCUCGUCGUAUACCUCUGGGUUGACCAUGACCUUUGUCUCACCCCAUUAUUGUGGGCGUAACAACAUGUUCUAGCUCAAUAUCUCUAGCAUCUUUGCACCCAUUCCUCACUAUAUACACAUAAAAUAAUAGAAUACAAGUUUAUAAUAAAAGGGUAUGAAUAACCUGCACAAUAAUGAAUUAAAUUAGAGAAGCUUUUCUAUCUUAUAACCUCUCAAAGAUAGAUGCAAACAUCUACGUACCAAUCCAUGAGACUCUAAUAGACAUCUCUCACUUACACAUAUGAGAUCGGUGAAUCUAGAACUCGGAUACUAAUUUGUCACGACCCCAAAAAUUUAUGUUGUGAUGGAACUUACCCCGACCCCGCCUUGGUAGGUAAGCCAAAAUCCAUAAUAGGUGAGAAAUAUAAAAAGAGAAGAAAUGAAAUAAUACGAUACUUGUAGAACGAAGUCAGACCAUAGUACUCAAACUAAAAAGUAUGAAAAAAAUACAACUAAAUCCCAAAACCUAGUAUCACAAGUACAUGAGCAUCUAAAUAAGUCUAAACUGAAAUAUAAUGAUUUGUCUAGAAAUACAAGCAAAGACAUAAAUAAAAAAUAGAUGUUGAGAUAAAGAUCCAAAUUGGGAGCUCACCAGAUACUCUGAAUGAAUAGCUACCACCACAUACAUCAGCUACCACGGCUUGUACUCGCACUAGGAUCUGCAAAAAAGAGCGUCGUAGGUAUGAAUAUUGUCUACUUAUACUCAAUAGGUAUCAUAGAUCGAAAGAUAAAAAAAAAAUAAUGCAGGUAAAAUAUAAUAUAAGCACGUCCCCUACAAGUAGAAAAGUUUUCAAAUAAUAGCUCACACCGUCUCUACUAGCAGUUUUAAGAUAUAAAGGCAAUAAAGAAAACUACCUACACAACAACAACAACACAUAAAGGAAUAAUAAAAUAAUAAAAACAAUGUAAUUCAAUGCAAUAAUGAUGUGAUACAACAAACAACAACAAACCCAGUGUAUUCCCACAUAGUGAGGUCUGGGGUGGGUAAGAUGUAUGCAGUCCAUAACUAUACCUCUAAAGAAGUAGAAAGGCUAUUUCCGAUAGACCCCCUGCUCGAGACACGAAAUACUACACAAAUACAUAGUAAAACAUGGAAAAAGAUGGCAUAACAUAAAUACGACACCCACAAGUAAUAGAAAAUAGAGAAAAGUAAACAGAUUCGUAAUAAAGCAUGAAACAAGGUAUCAUAACAAGAAUAAUACCCCCACCCAAGUAAUGCCCUACACUAGCGACCCAAACUGACCCUAAACUUCUUCCCUAAUUCGUGUCCUCCAGAUCUUCCUAUCUAGGGUGAUGUCCUCAGUGAUCUGUAACUGCUCCAUGUCCUGCCUAAUCACCUCUCCCCAGUACUUCUUUGGCCUACCCCUAUCCUACCUAAAACCAUCCAAAGCUAGCCUCUCACACCUACGAACCGGGGCAUCCAUGCCCCUCCUCAUUACGUGUCCAAACCAUCUCAAUCGUACUUCCCGCAUCUUAUUCUCCACUAGUGUCAUACCAACCUUCUCCCUAAUAGUCUCAUUCCGAACUCUAUUCCCCCUAGUCAGCCCACACAUCCAACGCAACAUCCGCAUUUCUGCCAGCUUCAGUUUUUGAAUGUGGGAUUUCUUAACUGGCCAACACUCUGCUCCAUACAACAUGGCUGGACGGACUGCCACGCUUUAAAAUUUGCCUUUAAGUUUGAGUGGCACCUUCUUAUCACAUAACACCCCCGAAGUGAGCUUUUACUUCAUCUAUCCCGCUAUAAUACGGUGCGAGACAUCCUCAUCAAUCUCACCGUUACCCUGAAUCACAGCCUCGAGAUACUUGAAACUAUCCCUCUUACAUACCACCUGUGAUUCCAACUUCACUACAACCUUAUUCUCCAGCCUCACGUCAUUAAACUUGCAUUCCAAAUACUCUAUCUUGCUCCUACUCAACCUGAACCCUUUCGACUCGAGAGUUUGUCUCCACACCUCUAAUUUAUCAUUCAUACCCUCACGUCUCAUCAAUCAAAACUACAUCAUCUGCAAAAAGCAUACACCAAGGCACCUCUCCUUGAAUACGCCGCGUCAACACAUCCAUCACCAAAGAAAACAAAAAGGGACUAAGAGUAGAUCCCUGAUGCAAUCCUGUCAAGACAGUGAAAUGCUCUGAGUCUUCUUCCGCCAUCCUCACCUGAGUUUUAGCUCCAUAUACAUGUACUUAAUUUCUCUGAUAUAUGUCAUUGGGACUCCACUCACCUCCAAGCAUCUCCAAAGCACCUCCCUGGGGACUUUGUCGUAUACCUUCUCCAAGUCGAUAAACACCAUGUCCAGGUCCUUCUUUNNNNNNNNNNNNNNNNNNNNNNNNNNNNNNNNNNNNNNNNNNNNNNNNNNNNNNNNNNCCUAAAUCCAAAUUGGUUCUCCGAAAUAGACACUAUCCGUCUCAGCCUCACCUUGACCACUCUCUCCCAAAUCUUUAUAGAGUGACUUAAUAACUUAAUACCCCUAUAGUUAUUGCAACUCUGAAUGUCACCCUUGUUCUUAUAAAGAGGGAUCAUAGUACUCCACCUCCAAGCCUCGGGCAUUUUUGUCAUUUUUAAAAUUUUGUUAAACAAUCCAGUCAACCACCUUAGACCAGCCUCGCCAGAAAACUUCCAAAAAUCCACCGGUAUCUCAUCAGGCCCCGUCGCCCUACCCCUUUGCAUCCUGUGAACAACCUCUCUAACCUCCUCUACCUUAAAAUGUCUACAAUAACUAAAAUCCCAACACUCGUUUGAGUGCUCCAGUUCUCCUAACACAAUAGCUCUAUCCCCUUCGUCAUUCAAGAGCCUAUUACGACUGCCAUCUAUUCUUAAUGUGGCCGUCCUCCACCAACACUGUACCAUCCUCUCCCUUAAUACACUUCACCUGGACGAGGUCACGACCCUUCCUCUCCCUAGCCUUAGCGAGUCUAAACAACUUUUUUCCCUCUUUUCUCCUGUAAUCCUGUAUACAAGCUCUCAAAAGUUGUCAUCUUAGCCGCUGUAACUGCUAACUUAGCCUUCUUCCUAGCUAACUUGUACUCUUUCCUGUUUACCCGCUUCUCUUCUUCGUCCUUACUCUCAACCAACUUAACAUACGCCCCUUUCUUGAUCUCUACUUUCUUCUUAACCUCUUCAUUCCACCACCAAUCCCCCUGAUGAUGCCCGUCCUGGCCCCUAGAAACACCCAACACCUCACUAACAUUCUCCCUAAUGUACCUAGCCACCCUAUUCCACAUACUAUCCACAUCCCCCCUACACUCUUACACUCCCAUUCCCGCCAACUUCUCUCCUAUCUCCCAUGCAUUCACUGGCGUCAAGCCGUCCUACUUAAUUAUAGGUCUACACUCCUCAGCCCUUCUCUUCCCAUCUUUCCUUAUACCCAAAUCUAUAACCAAGAGAAUAAUGAUGUGCUGAUGAAAGAAAUAAGCCAUUAGCUUUUUGUACACACUUUUUAGCCUUCACACUUCAAGACAUGGCCCAUAGGGGGUUUACAACCCAUAUACUUUCAUAUUAUCAAUCCCAUAUCUCAACUCACCUCUUCAAAUAGUGUUUAAAGAUUAAUAUUUUUAGAAAAUAUCUCAUUCACCUCUUUUUCUAUUAUUUAUGGAUCAAGGAGUUUAUAAAAUAUUUCUCAAUGGUAUUUAAAUCUCUUGAAAUGAUACAUAUAUCAAAUGAGGAUGGAAUGGUCACAACCAACUAAUAUGCUAUAAGUGAGCUAAAAAUCAAUUUACCAUGUUCAUGAACAAAAGCCCUUUUUAGGCACCUCCAAGAUAAAUAGUCAUGUAAAACAUCAAGAUAUCAUUUCAAAAACCUCUCUCUCGGGUAUUACUCUCAUGGUAAAGGAAAUUAAUGUCAAAAAAGAUGUAUAAUAUCUAUUCAAGCCCCGACACAGGCAUCAUAAUAAUGAACAUAACAUAUUAAUGGAUAAAUAAGGCUUAUAAUGUCAGUUAAAGUCCCCACUCGGGCAACACACAAUAAAUAUCCUAUCAAGUCAACAAUAUAUGUAAUUAGCCUCCACACAGGAACAUAAUAAUAAUAAUGAUCUUGAAAUAUAAAUUCCGUGGAUAUCUCCCUAAUUCAUAGCAUACUCUUUACAUAUUUUUUAACUACCUAACCAGUCUGAAGAAAUUGAAGCUACAACCUUCCUCGAUGUGUCAAAAUCCCAGCCUAAAACUUUUAACAUGGAUCCUUUCUAGCAUUUAGGUCGCAACAUAAGUUAAAAUAACAAAAAAUAUCAUCUAAUAAUUAAAAGAAAGCUAAUGAUACUCAUAUUAGCUAUAUUUAAAAUGAGUCUAAAAUAGGCUCGAAAAACGAGUAAAAAAUCGAACAGAGUAAAACUAAAAAAAUUUUAGAAACAUAUUUUCCAAGAUUAGAGGAGACUACAGUUUAAAACCCACAUGAAAUAAGUUUAAAAUGAGGUUCAAGUUGAAGAAAAAUCAUUAUAAAGCUUCACCUGCAAGAACCUCAAAAAUUUCAAUUUGAAAUCAAGGUCUUGAAGAUAUUUUCAAGAUAAAAAUCAAUGAAAAGUAAUGGUAAUGAGAGUUUGGAUCUUACCCAAGCUCAAUUGGUGAAAAAACCCCUAAGAAUCGCCCUAUCGCGAAGAUCCAAGGUCCAAAAAUGGAUAAAUUUACAAAAGUUGAGUAUUUAUACUAUUUUAUGAACAAUACCUCUUGAUUGUGAACCAAGCCUCUCAAUCGAGAUGGUCUGUGUUGACUUGACCAAAUAAUUGGUUCGCGAUUAGGUCUUUGCGUUUGUGGAGGCUUAUAACCUGAACCAUCUCAUUCGUGAUAUCCCGAAUUCGUGAUGAAAGAAAUACCCAACCUAGUCUUGUUUAUUUUUGUAAUAGUAUCUAAUGCCAUCGUUAUCUAUAAGAAGGAUAAUAUAUUUUUCUCGACCUGAGACUAACCCGUAGUCGUAAAACAAUACUUAAAGUCACAAACAACUUUAAGCUAACCCAUGGCCUAACAUAAUGCUAAGAAUACUUUAUAAAACUGAAUAAAAUUGCACAGAAGCUAGAGUUUGAAUAAUUUAUGAAAAUCAAAACCAAAUAUAAAUGUUAAAACAAAAUGGAAAUCACAGAAUAUAACAUAAAGCUGAAUCUCUACUGCCUGUUUAAAAGCCUCUACUAAGAUGAGUUGUUGGGACAAAUCCCUAGCUAACUCUAACUGUCUAAAAACUGGAAAGAUAUAAAUGAAAGAUACUAGUAUUUAGCCCUCCAAAUAUGAAGACUCACCAAAGUACUUUGCAAAUGUUGUAGGAGAUUGUCUUAUGCACAAUCUGGAUGUUGAACGUUAGAACCUAUAUUAUAAGAUAAUAUAGCACAAAAAAGUAUAGGAUCUGUACUUUGAAUAUACCAAGUAUUUGAGAUAAGAAAUAAUUGAAAUAGGCUGAACAUGAUACAUGUAACAUAGUAUCUGAAUAAACAUGUGUUGAAUGUUAUGUUGAAUAACUGAAUAUAAGGUCAAGCAACUACCUGAAUCUAAACUAUAAACUAUGGGAGCUGUCAUUAACCGAUAUAUUGUACACUACGGAAGAUGCCAUUAACCGAUAUACCCCAAUCUAAGCUAAUUGAUUCCAACCUAUCACCCCAGUUGUAUGUGUGUUCAGUACCUUGCCAAGGGUACGAACACUAACUGACGUGGAUCCACUAAAUUGAUGUCCAUAAGGACUGUGAUAUCAAGCCUGGUCUGAUGGGUGACUCUUUAUAACCUACAGUGGCAUUGUGGUUCUAGGACUUAGGGACUUCUACUUAAGGUCUAAGCCUAACUGACGGGUGAGCCUUCAUACCUGCGUUCGCUUGGCACUAAGUACUACUCCCAAUUGAAUAAUAACUGAUAACUAGAAUACUUAAUAAUAUUAAUAUUUUGAAGACUGGAAAUAAGUAACUUAUCUGAAAGCAUUAAAUUGUGAAAAUUGAACAACUAAAUAUUCAUAAUAUAUGCAUAAAAUUCUAGGUCAUCAGUUGUUCAUAACCAACAAUCUAUGAAGAAUACAACUACUAUGGCAUUCCAAUAAACAUAAUAAAAUAUGAAAUUUCACAACUCAUGUCUAAAAUCAUGAAUUAUAUAUUACACUGAGGGUUCAUAAUUAUAAGAAUGAGAUGAUACUGAAAUUCAUGGGAUAACAUGGGUCUAUCGCUCAAUUAUGACAAACAACUAAAAUAUAAAGGAAUUCAGACUACUCAUGAACCCUAGGCUUAGAGGAAGGAUUUAAAUUGAGGAAUUUAGGUUAACUUUGGAAUCCAAUGGGUGAAAGAAAACCCAUAGAUGAAAUUUCACAUACAUAGAGAUGAGAACCUUGAUGAAAUAUUUAAAAAUGGAGCCUGAGAUUGGAGAACUCUAGUUUGCCUUGAAGGGAGGAAAUCACCUCUUUCUUUUAUUGUGAUGCUAAGUGUCAAGCAAUUUUGAUGUAAUGAGGGACUUAGAGUAAUAUUGAUUUUAAUAAUCAAAUCUAGGGUGACUUAAAUGAUGUAGUUUUGAUGUUAGAAGAGUGAAAAAAGACUUUAAAGCCCCUUAUCAAACAUAACUGAAAAUCCAGAGAAUUAAGUCUUAUGGACCAUCCCACAAUCAUGGGACCCACCUACUAUCGUGUGUAGUAUUCAGAGGCUCUCUGGACUUGAUCAUAUGAUCUAUGACACAAUCAUGAGACCUACCUAUAAUUGUACCUUGGCUUAUAAGUUGAAAGUCCAAGCCUAAUUAGCUUUAGGACUCACAAUCGUACCUAAUAUUGUGGUUUCAAACCAAGAUCAAGGUUAAAUCUCAUGGUUGGGAGGUGCAUUUGUAAACAUUCAGGUGUUUGGGAUUGUUUCUAUCAGACGAGGGCAUUGUAUAGUCGUACAAUAUCACCAAUAUAUUACCUACACUCGUAGGUUCUCUCUGUUGGACAGUGCCUCAAUAAAAUGGUCAUAACUCUUAGCUCUUGAAUCGGAUUAAGGCAAAGCUGGAUAUGUUGGAAAUAAGACUCAAAGCCUUUCAUUUGGUUGGUAUUGAGAUCAAAAACACUAUAGAGACUAUGAUUUAUGCUCAUUUGAAGUUGACUGUAGAAGGAUUCUUCACAAGAAAUCAUCGAUAAGGAAUAUUUUAACUUGACUAUGAGCUAGGAGUUACUUGUGGCCUUAGUACAAGUAUAAAUCACUUCUCAUACUAACACCACAUGAUGUUUGAUUCUACGUGUACUUAAAGCAUAGUUUUAAUCUUAGCUUAAGUUUUUAGGGUGUUCCAAUAUAUCUCGCUCUUAGGGUCAUUCGUCCUUGACUAGAAACUAACUAAAUUAAAGAGUUAGGGAUAGAGUUACAACCCCACCACUGAAAUUCAAAGGGAUGAAUACUGACAUUAUAACUGAGUUCAUAACUAAAACAUAGACUGAACCAAACUCAUGAAUGCAUGUUAUGACAUGAGAAUAAUUGGGUGACAUGUAAUAAAAAGAAUUAAUUAAAGGAAAAUUAUUACCUCAAGCUGGAACUUAGCUCGAAGGAAAAGAUGAGGGCACUUGGUCAUCAUAUCUGACUCUACUUUCCAAGUAGCUCCCUUAGUUCAUUGAUUUUUCAAAAGAACCUUUACCAAAUCGGCCUUCUUAUUUCUCAACUUACGAACCGAACAGUCAAGGAUCUCAAUUGAGACUAUUCGUAAGACAGACCAUCUAUCACACCCACACUCUCUAAGGGCAAAACUAAUGAAGGAUUACCAUUACAUUUCUUUAACAAGAAUACAUAAAAAAUUAGAUGCACCAAUGCUAAGUUUGUAGGUAAAUCUAUCUCAUAGGCUACAUUACCAAUGCAACUGACAAUCUUAUGAGGACCAAUAUAGAGGGGACUGAGCUUUACCUUCUUACCAAAUCUCUUUACCCUUUUUAUAGGAAAAACCUUCAAAUAGAUAAAAUCACCAAUAGCAAACUUAAGCUUCCUUCUCCUUACAUCUGCUUAGGACUUUUGAUGACUCUGUGUUGUUUACAACCUUUUUCUAAAUAACUAAACUUUCUUUACAGCCUUAUGAACUAAAUAUGGCCCUAUCAAGGUAGCUUCACUAACUUUAAACCAACCAAUAUAAGACCUACACCUCCUACCAUAAAGUGCUUCAAAUAGGGCCAUCUGAAUAUUGGAUUGAUAGCUAUUUUUAUAAGAAAACUCAAUCAAAGUCAAAUGAUUAUCCCAACUGCCCUUAAAUCAAUCACACAUACUCUCAACAUGUCUUCUAAGGUAUGAAUGGUCCUUUCUUCUUGACCAUAUGUAUGCAGGUAAAAAUCUAUAUAAGAUGAACAUAGGUACCAAAACCUUUCUGAAAAGUCUUCUAGAAUUGAGAGGUAAACUGAAUACCUCUAUCUGAAAUGAUAGCCAGAGUGACUAUAUAAAAUUUCACCAAAUCCCUAAGAUAGAAUUUAGUAUAAUCCUUACCUAAAUCUAGAGUGUUAGCUGGCAAGAAAUGGGUCGACUUAGUCAUUUAGUCUAUGAUAACCUAAAUAAAAUCAUGUUGUCAAUGAGUACAAGGCAAUCUUGUAAUAAAGUUCAUAUUCACUACUUCCCACUUCCAAGUAGGAAUAUCGAUACCUUGAAAUGCACCACCAGGUCUCUAGUACUCAACCUUAAUCUGUUGGUAAUUACGAGACUUAGCCACAAAUACCGCUAUAUCCUUUUUUAUGCCAUUCCAAUAAUAGACUUCCCAUAGAUCAUGAUAUAUUUUAGUGGCUCCUAGGUGAAUAGAACACCGAGAACUAUGAGUUUCUAUUAACAUCCACUGUCUCAUGUCAUCCAUAUUUGGAAUGCAUAGUCAGCCUUGAUAAUAAAGAACAACAUCUUCUCCUUGGGAGAAAACCUCAAUCUUCUAACUCUGGACCGCUUCUUUUAAUUAAGAAAAAUAGGAUCACUAUCUUACUUUUCUUUCACCUCAGCUAUUAAUGAAAAUUCUAAACCAUUCUAAACCAAGAUAUUAUCUUAGGUUGAAUCAACCAACCGAACUCUCAAUCUAGCAAGUUGGUCAACCUCUCGAACUAGCUCUUUAUUAUUACCCUCAAUAUAAGAAACACAUCCUAUAGAAAAUCUACUAAAAGCGUCAGCCAUAUAUUAGCUUUACCCAAAUGGUACAAGUCACUCAUAUCAUAAUCCUUCAAUAACUCUAGCCAGCUUUUCUGACAAGAAUUUAGAUUCUUGUGACUGAAUAAAUAUUGAAGACUUUUGUGGUUGGUGAAAAUCAACAUGAACCCCAUAAAGAUAAUAUCUCUAAAUCUUUAAGGAAAAAACCAUUGCUGCCAACUCAAGAUAAUGUGUUGGGUAAUUCUUUACGUAAGGCUUGGGUUGUAUAUAGACUUAUAUUAUAAUAAGGCCAUGUUGUAUCGACACACAAACAAGUCCAACUCUAGAAGUAUCAUAAUGAACCAUAAAUCGAUAUGAACCAUUAGGUAGAGUCAAAACUGGAGCGAAGGUGAGUCGACUAUUCAACUCCUGAAAAUUCUUCUCACAAGACCCAGACCACUAAAACUUGGCUUUUUCUGAGUUAGUCUGUACAUAAGAGAAGAAAUAAAGGGGAAUCCCUCAAUAAAUUAUCUAUAGUAACUAGCUAAACCCAAGAAAAUCUUGUUAUAUAAUGGAGAGAUGGGUCUAGGCAAAUUCCUAACUAUUUUGAUCUUUUGAGGAUCAACCUGAAUGCCCUCACCAAAAUAAUAUGACUAAGGAAUGCUAUCGAUUUCAACCAAAAUUCACACUUUUUGAACUUAGCGAAUGACUGGCGAUCAUUGAGAGUCUAUAAGAUAACCCUCAAAUAGUCUGCAUAUUCAUCCUUAUUCCGAGAAUAAAUGAAGAUGUCAUAUAUAAAGACUAUAAUGAACAUACAUGUACUGCUUGAACACCCUAUUCAUUAAGUCCAUAAAAGUUGUAGGAGCAUUCACUAUCCUAAAAAAAUUAAAGUGAUCAUACCGAGUUUGCAAGACUAUCUCAAAAUGUCAUAUAUAACUCUAAGUUGAUGAAAUCCGAAUCUGACGUAGAUUUUCAAAAAGAAUUAGCACCUUGAAAUUGGUCGAACAUGUCAUCAAUCCUAGGAAUAGGAUACUUGUUCUUGACUGUAACUUUGUUCAAUUGAUGGUAGUCGAUGCAUAUUCUGAGAAAACUAUCUUUCUUGCACAUAAAAAAAAUUGGAGCACCAUAUGGAGAGACAUUAAGCCUUAUAAAACCCUUGAGUAGGAAAUUUUUCAACUACUUCUUCAAUUUCUUAAGCUUGUCUAGAACCAUUUUAUAGGAUGGAAUAGAGAUAGGUUGGGUAUUUGGAAGAAUAUCUAUUCUAAAGUCAAAUUCUCACUCGGGAGAAACUCUAGGCAGAUCUUUAGGAAGCACAUUUGGGGACUCAUUAACCACUACAAUUUACUCAAGAGUUGGGGUUUCAAACUUCAAAUCCUUAACCCAAACAAGAUGAUGGAUGUAUCAUUUGGAGAUCAUUUUUCUAGCCUUAAAGUAAGAGACAAACUGACCUAUAUACACCAAAGUACUAUCUUUUCACUCAAUGACUGGCUUAUUUAGAAACUGAAACUAGACUACUCUAUUUCUACAAUUAAUUAAGGCUUAGUAAGAGUGGAGCCAAUCCAUGCAAAGAAUAAUAUUAAAAUCUAUCAUGUCUAACUCAUCAAAAUCAAGUGUGGUGGUUUUUUAAGAAACUAUGUGUAACACCUCAAUUUUCUGAACCGAAAUGCUAUAUGGUGCUCAUAACCCCGAAGGACCACAAGUUAACCCAUGACUGAUAUCUAUACCGGUACACUACAUAAUAUAACAUGAAAAUCUAGAAACAUGUACUGAAUGGCCAUAAGGUUCAAAUCUGAAUAAACAUCUGAUAAGACAAUGUCUGAAAAUGGUAUAACAAUACCAAAACAAAUCUAAAAUAAAUGUCUGACAUGCUAUAGUCUGGAAAGCCUCUAAACUGUCUGAAUAAAGAGUUGAUGGGACAUUUCCCCAACUAACUCCAUCUAGUAACUGAACUAAAACAUCAAAUGAAGCAAUAAUCAUAUCAUCCUCGAAUGAAAAAGACUCACUGCAAACUCUGAACAUUGGAAUGUAACUGCUGAUCUGGAGCUUGUGCCUUUGAACCUAUGGUGUAACAUAAGAGAAAGCACCAUAGCACAAAUGCAUCAGUACGUCUGAAUGUACUGAGUAUAAGAGUGAGGUAGGCUAAAUGCAAAGGGUUAUAUGCAUAAACAAUGCUAACUAAUAUGAACGGGAGAAUACAUACAUGCAUACAUAACUGUAACUAAACUCGUGGAGAUACUGACAGCUGAGUCUGAAUACUGACAACAUGAGUGUACUGAUACUGAGAUACUGAAUAGAUGAAUGACUAUUUCUGACAGUUCAAAUUAUGAAGAACUGGUCUGGUUAACUAUGCCUGAAAGUCCUGAAGCUGAAUACUGAUAUCAUAAAUUCUGAUAACUGAUAGGACUGAUAUAACUAUGAUGAUUAGCCUAACCGAUGUAACUGAUAUUGAGCGACUGUAUCUGACAGUCUAAGUUCUGAUGAAACUGUCUGAGUUCCAUUCUACUUGGAGUAACUGAAUCUAAGAUCAGUCCUAUCUAGCGGGUGAUCAUGAGUAUACUGAUAAUAAGGAUGAUUUGACUUAGUCUGAGAUCAUUCCUAUCUAGCUGGAUUAAUCAUAGUUGAGAUCAGUCCUAGCUAAUGGGUGAUCUUGAAGUCUAUUUACAAUGAUAAGUAUUGACUGUAUCUAAUAGUAUUAAAUCUGUACUACUAAGCUGAGUUGAUUGUGUCUGACAGUCCUGAAUCUGUAACUGAAACUGUGGGAUAUGUUCAUCUAACUGACAUUCCCCAAACUAAGAUGACUGGGAUCCAAUCUCUGCCCUGACUUGAAGGGUGUCAGUACCGCGCCACCAGUAAAUACAUCUAUUGUGGAGUCAGCCCUAAUCUAGCAGGUGGCUCCUGAGAUCAAUCCUAUAUAUAUAAAUGUGCUAACGGGUGACCCCUGAGUACGUCAGUCCUAUCUAACGGGUAACAUCUCGUACCUACGCUGGCAACGUAGUUAUGGAACUUAGGGAUUGAUUCUAGGGAUCUCAGUCUUAUUCUAGAGGGUGAGCCCCCAUCCCUAGGUUCGCUCGGUGUUGAAUCCUACUCCCAUCUGAAAUACACUAACUGAAUAACUGGGCUGAACUAAAUAACUUAACUAAACUAAUUUGCUGAACUGAUACUGAUUAAUUGAACUGAAAAUAGUGUUAUUGUUUAGCGGAGCUAAAACUGAGUUUACUGGAUUCUGAUAACGGAUGUAAUAUAAUGAGUUCUGAGGACUGAUUAAGAGUACUGAAGUUACUGAGAUUUACUGUGAUUACUGAGGUUACUGAGCACUGAGAUUACUGAGUUUUCCUGAGUCACAUGACUGGCUGAUUUCUAUAGAUCAUGGCUUGACUGAGAGUAUCGUGAAAACAUGACAUGGCUCUAGGCACACAACUAUUUUUUUCGGGUGCAAAUACCCCUAGGACUUAAUAGAAGAAAACUGAUACACAUGACUGACUUGAUCAUAAGAGUAGAGUUCAUAAUCCACAAUAUCAUAAAUAAGGGAUUUCAUAUUAAGCAUGGUUCUCAACAAUCUAUUUCAUGGAAGGGAAUUUCAUACAACAUAUAUAUACUUGCAUAGCUUUCAAUAUCAUGCUCAUUACAUAUUACAACCACAAUCCAUAAUAUCAUAACUGGGGGAAUUUCAUGAAGUACAUUGGUAAACUACAUCUUGUACAUGAGUGGGUUUUGCAAGUAAGCAUAGCAUAAUUCCAUAAGACUAGUUCAUGAGUAAUCCAACAGUGUUCACAAGACACAUUAUCAACAUGGAUGACAUUGAAUCAUAGAGGCCUAUCAUGAAUCCUCCCCUUAGUCAUAAUUUAGCUAUAAUGCAUGAUUUCUAGUCUCUUAGGUAUUUUAUCAAACACCUUACAUGCACAACUUAGGCAUAGGUGUAAAUCAUACAAUUACUCAUCAUAAAUAAUCAAAGUAACAUGUUUUCAACUCAUAUGAUGUCAUAGAUUCAUAAUAACACAUAAAUAUUCUAUCUUAGCAUCAUUCAACACAUAAACAUGAUCAACAAUCUAUUCAUAACAUGAAAACCAUCAUAUAUAGUUUUAGAAAAGGGUUCUUGAACUUCAUCGAUGAAAGGAGUCCAUGAAUGAACACACGCAUACCUUAGAAAGAAAACCUUGAUGAUUUACUGGAGAGUUCUUAGAUUGGGACACUUAAUUCUUGAUUAUCUUAGAAAAAGGCUUGAAUCUUGCUUUUGAGAGAUGAGUUUGAUGGAAACCCUAAUCUUGUGGUUGAGAGUGUAAGAGAAAGAUUUUUUAGAUGUUUUAACUAAAGAGAAUGGAAGAUAAUACGUUCCUUGAGGGUUAUAAGUCAUGAAAAGUGAAGGGAAAAGAUCAAAAUACCCUUCUGAAAUAAUUCAUAAAUUCCCAGUUGCUGAAAAUCAUAGCUGACGACAUUUGUGACAAAGCAUAAAAAAUGUAGUAAGCUACUACGAAUGUCGUCACACAGAAGCUAGUUUCUGCCUAAGGCUGACGACCUUCGUGGUAGGGCAUCACAAAUGUGGUAAGUUACCACGAAUGUCAUCACUUAGGAGCUGGUUUCUGCCUAAGGCUGACGACCUUCGUGGUAGGGCGUCACAAAUGUGGUAAGCUACCACGAAUGUCGUCACACAGUUUUCAGCCUGACAUGCUGGAGUAAAAUAGGAAUAACUCUUUGCUCUGAUAUCAGAUUUAGGCGAAAUUUGUAUCAUUGGAAAGAUAAUUCAAUUAUCUAUCUGUUGAUAGGUCAUGAACUCAAAAAUUUCAAGUAUAAUGAGAGAUAUGCUCGUUUGAAGUUGACUAUACCACUAUCCUUCUCAAGAAUUCAAUCGGUAAGGAAUGUUUUGAUUCGUCUGAUAGAUGGGAGUUAUUUGAAGCCUUAAUAUACAUCUAACUUAGUCAUAAAACUAUAAAAUAACCAUGAUGUACUAUGCAUGAUCUUGGUACAUGGCUCUAAUAUUGGUUUGGAUAUUCGGUAUAUAACAAUGCAUAAGGUAUAUGAUAACCUUCCUAAUCAUGUGGGGUCUAAAAGGCAUAGAACCUGUUGCAGCGUUGUCCACCAACUUCACUAAAUGAGGCACCUUGCUGAUUUAGGUGACCUACUAGAGCUGUUGAAAAGUUAGACUAACUUUACAGAUAAGCAUCCCUACCUCUCUAUGAACCAUUGGACAUUUCCUUAAUCUGUGGCCUAACUUUUUACACUCAAUACAAUUAUCGCUACCAGCCAUACACAUACACUUGUAGUCCUUACCAUACUUCUUGAAAAUUGAAUUAGCUUGACCACUAUUCAUACUACCUUAUGACUUAGAGCCUAUUACUCUAUCCUAACUAUCUUGCAUGAGCAUGGAUCACUAGUAGAUGAUAGGGCUGGAGCUGAAGAUUUUUGAUAAAACUAAGAACCAUUACCACUAUUUAACCUCUGCUGGGAGAAAUUAAAGCUAUAGUUUUUGGGCCUCUUACUCUUUCUUUCCUUCUUCUUGAUUUUCUAUUCUCCAGUAUCACAACAUGAACCAUCAACCUGGAGAUGUCCUUCUCCCUAAUCAACAUAGCAGUCUUAUAUUCUUAGACCACAUCCUCAUAAAUACUAGAAAAAACUUAAUCAUCCAGGCCUUGGAGUCAACAACCACUGUCGGUGCAUACUUAGCCAGUUGAGUAAACUUGAGAGAAUACUCUUCAUGUUACCCUACUUCAGAUUAAUCAACUCCUUAACUUUGGCUUUCCUCAAGUAGAAAGAACAGGUAUAGAAAAGUAGUAACAAACUCAUUCCACUCUACCGGUUCUGUAUCCACACCUCUAUUAUUUUUCUACUAUUUUAUUUAUACCAAGUGUGAGCAGUUCCUUACAACUGAUAAGCAACCAUAUCAGCCCUUUCAUUUAGACUGGCACCCAUGAUAUGAGUAACUUUAUGAAUAUUAUCUAGGAAUUCCUGUGGAUCCUCUUCAGACAUAGAUCCAACGAAUACCAUAGGAUUCAUUUAAGUAAAAUCUUGAACAUCUAGUUACUACCAUAUUUACUACUGGGUUGGAUGGUUCCAUAAUAUUCUGGUUAUUCUGAUGGCCAUGGACUGGGCUAACCCUAUUAAAUCAGCCCUAAAUUCAGCGCAAGAGGCUUGCUCAUUCAGAGGGUCUACUGGAACUGGUAGUGCUUGUUGGUUCAUAAUUUUGUUACUAAUUUUGUUUCUUCUUCCGUUGGCUCUUCUAGUAGGCAUUUUCUAUAAAUGUAUAGAGAACGAGUUAGAAGAUGAUUUAAUAGAGUUCACAUUUUAUUGCACGAUAUGAAUAUGGAAAAAAUAAAACUUUUUCUAAAAUAUUUCAUAGCCUUUCACUCAAAAGUGUGGCGCGCUUCACACCCAUGAAUAAGACUCUACUUAAUGCGACUUUCAGAUACCCUAGGAUACUUUAAACCUGAUGCUCUGAUACCAAGUUUAUCAUGACCCGAGACUACCCCUUUGUCGUAAUAUGGUACUUAGAGUCAGAAGCGAUCUCAAGCUAACUCAUGGCCUGGCAUAAUGCUAAGAAUACUGUAUAAAACUUACUAACACUAUGAAGAAGCUAAAGUCUAAAUGAUAUAUAAAGAUCAAAACCAAAUGUCAAUGUUAAAACAAAAUAAAAAUCAUUGGAUAUAACAUAAAGUCGACUCUCUACUCUCUGUCUGAAAACCUCUACUAAGAUGAGUUUCUAGGACAAACCCCUAGCCAACUCUAACUAUCUAAAAGUUGGAAAGACAUAAAUAAAAAUUAUUUAUAUUUAGCCCUCAAAAGACGAGGAUUCACCGAAGUACUGUUGUUGAUGUAAUAAAAAUAUGUACUAGAAGGGAUCUGUAUGUUGAACGUUAGAAACUAUAUUUUAAGACAAUGUAGCUCAAAAAACAUAUGUAAUCAGUACUUUGAAUGUAUUGAGUAAGUGAAAUAGAAAAUAACAAACAUAGGCUAAACAUGAUGCACGUACAUGAUAUUUGAUGCAAGACUAAGUAAUAAAUAUGUGCUUAAUAAUAUAUUGAAUAACCAAAUACUAAGCUAUGCAACUAUCUGAAUUUGAACUAUACACUAAGGGAUAUACCAUUAACCGACACACCUAAUAUGAGCUAAUUGGGGUACAACCUUGUAACUUCAGUUGGAUGGGUGUUCAGUACAUUGCCAAGGUUAUGAACACUGACUGACAUAGAUCCACUAAACUGAUGUCCAUAAAGACUAAGGUAUCGAUCUAGGACUAAAGGGUGACCCUUUAUAACCUAUGAUAGCACUGUAGUUUUGGUACUUGAGGACUUCUCCUAAAGGGCUUAGCCUAACUAAUAGGUGAUCCUUCACCCCUGCGUCUGCUUAGUGCUAAGUACUACUCCUAACUGAAUAACAACUAAUAACUGUAAUGCUUAAUAAUAUUAAUAUUCUAAAGACUAAAAAUAAGUACUUUAUAUGGAAUCAUUCAAUCAGUAAAACUGAAGGAUCAAAUAUUCAUAAACAUAUGCAUGAAAUCCUAGGUCAUUAGGUGUUUAUAACUCGUCAAUUCGGAAGAAUACAAUAACUAUGACAAUUCCCGUAAAUGAAAUAAAAUACAAAAAUUAACAACUCAAGUCUCAAAUUAUGAAUUAAACAUUAUAUCGAGGGUUAUAAUUAUAAGCAUGGGAUGACACUGAAAUUCAUGGGAUAACAUGCAUCCAUGACUCAAUUAUGACAAAGAACUAAAAUAUGAAGGUAUUCAUACUACUCGUGAACCCUAGGCUCCGAAGGAGGAUUUAAACUGAGAAUUUAGGUUAAUAUCAAGACUCAAUGGGUGAAAGAAAAUCCAAAUAUGAAAUCCCAUAUAUAUUUGGAGAUGAGAACAUUGAAGAAAUCCUUAAAAUUGGAGCUUGAUAUUGGAGAACCCUAGUGAAACACCCUGGUUUCUGGACCUUGGAAAAUUUUCUUGAUUUUUAGUUUCUGGGCAAGAUGUGAAUUAGGGGAACAAGUCAUACACUUUGGUACAGGUGGUAUGGUCCAUUCAUGUGCUAAACAAUAUUGGUUGAUGAGAUGGAUACAGUUAUUGGAAUGAGUACGAUGUGGGUGGUACAAGUUGUAUUUGUGGAUAUGUUUUGUUUGGUUACUUCACUUAACCUUAGACUUGGUAAAUUAAUUUGGAUCUGAGUAUGAGUGGAUCACCACAAGCCGUAAGCCAGGGUAUGAGUCGUACCAUGGACUCGUAUGAUGGUCAGUGUUCAAUCCUCUUGGGAUUCUAUUCUGCCAGGGGUAUGAUUUAGGGGUACCAGUCGUACUCUUGGAUAUGACAUGGGUUUAGGUAUGUCGUACGUUUGACAGUUUUAGGUCAAAGAGGGAAAACCUAGGGUACGAGAGGUGGGUACCACUCGUACAGGAUGGGUACGACUCGUAAGGGUCAGUCAUAUCCUAUUACGAGAAUUAAGUGCAGUUUAAGGGAGGGCAAUCUAGAUAUUUUCCCACUUAUCCUAAUAAGGUCCCACAACUUAUAUAGCACUUGGGAGGUUAUUUGCUCUACUAUUCUAUUCUUAAACACUUAUAAAACACUCUUAAAUCCUCUCUAGAGUUCUUGGGCAAAUGAAGCUAAGGUUACAUCUUAAGGAGUAAAUUGGGGCUUAUCUUGGUUUAAGGCAUGUUAUCCUCCCUCAUUGUUAGUUCUAACUAAAGGAAUGGAUUUUAUACAAUGUUUUCAUGAUUUGAAUGUUGUAUGAUUUUAAGUUUUCAAAUAUAAUUUGGGGAUUUGGUUAUAAAUGCUUGGUUAUGAUUUUUCCAUGUUUUAAUUAUGCGUUUAUAUGUAUUAAUGGCGGUUUUGGAUAGUUGGUUGCAUGGGAAUGGUUGUUGGUAAUAGGCUUUCAUUUUGGAAAUACUAUGCCCCCAAUGUGUUUGAUAAAAUGCCUAUAACAAUGUUUUACCAUAAUAUUGGGUUUUUAAUGAAACUUAUGCAUGGUUUAAACUUGGUAAUGGAACCCUAAAUAAUAUGAAUGGUUUAAAUGGUUUUGGAAUAGUUUGGCUUAAUAAACGUACUUGUGGGAUACGAGGGAAUCCCCCAAGUUAAUAUGGUAAUGAAUACUUGUGGGGUACAUGGGAAUCCCCCAAGUUAAUUGGAUAAUAGGGUCUAUGGAUACAUAGGAAUCCCUUGACCUCUAAAAGGUUUGACUAAGGAUAAUACUUGCAAGUCAUAGGCGGCAUGAUGAUACCACUACUAAUAGCCUUUGUUAAUAAUAAUGGAAUAAUGGUUUGGUUGAAAAAUGGUUUUAAUUGGGUAAUAAUGGUGGGAUGUGAAAGCAAACCGUGAAGGUGGGAGUCCAAUGGAUGAACACUGGAAACUCAUAUUUGCCGACAUAAAGAGUAGGUCAUGGCGACCUUAUAGAUACUUAUGAGGUACACAAGAAUCCUCUAGGUACACUGUACAUAUGUAUCAUGGAGAGUGAAGCGUACAUAAGAAUCCCCGACUCUUAUGGUAUCUCGAAUUUAUGCAGCUACAUGCAUCGGGCCCAUUCAGGGGGUUACACUGAACCCAUGUAGCCCGUGGGUAGUUUUAGGAUGGUUAAGCUUCACAUACCGAGGUUAAAGGUUUUAAAUACAUGCUAAACUCGAUUUCCUUUCUCGGUAUGGUUAUAUACAUAUGUAUGGGUUGCGUGCAUAUGGAUGGUUUUACUUAUUUUUCUUAAAUGACAUUAUUUUAUCCUUAUCCUGAGUUCAUGCUAGCGUUCACCCGCUAACCCAUCUUUGGACAGCUAUAUCCCCAUACUAUGAAGGAAUCAAUUGUUCUACUCCUCUUGCUUAGCAUUCGGACAUUCGGGGGUCAGUUUUGGAUAAGUGGUAAGCUUUUAUUUUUCCAAUACGCUCCAUUUUAUGGAUGUUAUUUCAUACUUUGGAUUAUUUAUGGAUAUUGGUUUUGGCUAUGGUUGGGGGCAUGUCCUAACCAGAUCUUAGUAUUCUUUUCGUUAGAGGCUUUUGUGGAACCACUAUAGGUUGAAAUGGAAAGGAUCUGUAUGGGUGUCAGCCUUAACAUUAGUAUUGGUAUUGGGGCUGACACGGGUUGACUGAAUUGUUGGUUGUUCCAUCCUCUUUAAUUUUGGGAUUAUAUAUUUAACUAUUAAUGAAACUUAUUUAGUUACGGUCAGAUUUAUGGUUUUAACUUGGCUUGGUAUAGUUGGACGAUUGGUAUGGGAUGGUUGGACUUGGUUGGAUCGGUCACGAUCGUGACCCUAUCCCAGAGUCUUCACAUAAGCUAUUAUGCUAUCUUGUUAUAUGCUCAAAAUUCAGUCAACUCGGGGCAGGAGACUAGAGGUUGGGUUGGGUAAGGGGUGGUCUCCGGUCCAAGUCAAACUUGGGAUGCCUAUUAUGAUAAGACCCCGAGCCGGGUUGUGUCAAGUUGGUAUUAGAGUUAAUGGUUUAUGGUCAAUUGGGAGUCUACAAAGCAAUUUCUGGUAGAGUCUCUUUUAGGGGUAUUUAGCAUGUCACACUCAUAAGAGAAAGGCUAUAGGAUAUUUAGGAAUGUUUCACUUUUAUGGUAUUCUGUUUUCAAGCUUGGAGUCUGAGUCUUGGAAUUUUUCUCUAAUCCUUGGUUGUUCAUUUUUCAGAUCAUGCCUUGACGAUUUGGAAUAUAAAGAAAUUUUUCUAUCCCAUCUAGGGAUGAUGUUGAUGAGUUACGUCCUACACCUAGAGUUCACACACGAUCUCAGGGUCCUAUCCCUGAUUGUUCUGGAAUUCCCCUAGUUGCUACUAGUCCUCCUCAGGGUGAAGUGACUAAUGCAGAAUUUUGCUAAUCUAUUCAUACUAUUGCUCAGUUGGUUGCUUCUCAGGCUAGGCAUGGGUUAUCUGCUGAGGCCACAAUGUUUAGCCAGUUUAUGAAGCUGAAGCCUCCUACUUUUACUGGUGUGAAGGUGGAUGAGGAUCCUCAAGGUUUCUUGGAUGAAAUAGAAAAAUAAUUCUGGGUGAUGCUGGCCACUAAUGUGGAAGGGGUGAAUUUUGCAGCCUAUCAGCUCAAGGAUAUUGUGUACCACUGGUACGAGAAAUGAGAUAGGGAUAGAGGUGGUAUAGAGGAGUUGUCCUUAUGGGAUGCUUUUUCUAAUACUUUUCUAGAUCGUUUCUUUCCUUAAGAGUCGAGGAAAACAAAUAUGAAGGAGUUUAUGAAUCUCAAGCAAGGUAAAAUAUCUUUCAACGAAUAUGCCUUGAAGUUUCAUCAACUGUCAAGGCAUGCUCCUGAUUUGGUGGCUGACAUAAGGGCGAGAAUGAGAAAGUUCACUUUUGGGUUUUCUCGAGAUCUGAUACUUGAAAGCAAAACUACUUUGCUGAUUAAGGAUAUCAAUAUUUUAAGGUUGGUUGUCCACAUACAGCAGGUAGAGGAAGAAAAGAAUAAAUAACCAAAAUUUGGGGAAAUGAUGGGUAAGAGGAGUAGGUUCUUUGAGCAGAGUUGUUCUCAGCAGUAGGGCAGUUGGGAUGGAGGUAAAUGGCUAAAGAAGAAGUAGGAGAGUUUGGGUUCCUUCUUCAGCUAGUGCUCCUUACCCUAGGUAGUCAGGUAACAGGCGUCCACAAGGUGGUGAUAAUUUUUAGGCACAGGGUACCCAAUUUCAGGUGAGUGGCGAUCAUUCAGCUUCUCCAUGACCUUCUUUCUAGUUCUAUGGUCGUCUUCAUCAAGGCUAUUAUGAUGAAGGCAGGAAUAAGUAUUUUAAAUAUGUCCAGCCAGGCCAAGCCCUAUGCUCAAAAAUUAUCUGAUCGAAAAGGGUGCAUCGAUAGCCGUCAAAGCUCUGAUUGGUUCAUCUUCUGCUUCUGCACCUAGUGGUGUGGCUUUGGCGUCUACUCCUACUUUUGGUACUAGCACAGGCUGCAAUAGGUUGUAUGCUCUUGCAUUUCGAUAGGAGUUUGAGGCAUUACUUGAUGUCGUUACUGGUAUGUUACAACUCUUUUCUCAUGACAUGUAUUAUCUGCUUGAUCUGGGGUCCACUCUUUCUUAUGUGACCCCAUUUGUGGUUGUAUGUAUUGGUUUUAAUCCUGAGAUUAUUUUGGAUCCUUUUUUUGUUUCUACCCCGAUAGGUGACUCAGUUAUUACUAAAAGUGUGUAUAGAGGGUGUGUGGUUUCAGUUGGUAGCAAGAAGACCUUGAUAGAUCUGUUUGAGCUGGAUAUGGUAGAUUUUGACGUUAUUCUGGGGAUGGAUUGGUUACACUCUCAUUACGCUUUCUUAGAUUGUCGGACCCAUAAGAUUAUCUUUAGGUUUCCUGGUGAACUGGUUAUAGAGUAGGAGGGUGGUUUGCUAGAUCCUAGGAGGGUUUAUUUAUUAUCUUAGAUCUCAGAGGUUAAUCUCUAAAAGGUGUCUUUAUCACUUAGUCUGGGUUAAAGAUUCUAACUUGGAAUGUCCUUCUCUAUAUUCAGUUCUAGUGGUAAAUGAGUUUCCUGAGGUUUUUUGGAUGCUCUUCCUGGUGUUCCUCUGGAUAGGGAAAUAGAUUUUGGUAUUGAUUUGCUUCUGGACACUCGUCCAAUAUCUAUCCUCCUUAUAAAAUGGCUCCGGCUGAGUUGAGAGAACUCAAGGAGCAACUUAAGGAUCUUCUGAAUAAGGGGUUUAUUCGUUCUAGUGUAUCCCCAUGGGGUGCACCGAUGUUGUUCGUACGCAAGAAGGAUAGUUCUCUUCGGAUGUGAAUUGACUAUCAAUAGUUGAAUAAAGUGACGGUCAAGAACAAGUAUCCUCUUUCAAGGAUAGAUGACUUGUUUGAUCAUUGCAUGGUGCCAAGUUCUUCUCUAAGAUAGAUCUUCGAUCUGGGAAUCAUCAGCUUAAGAUUAGGGAGGAGGAUAUCCCUAAGAGGGUUUUUCUACUUGAUAUGGGAACUUUAAAUUCUUGGUUAUGUCAUUUAGUUUGACUGACGCUCCUGCGAUGUUUAUGGACUUGAUGAACAGGGUUUUCAGGCAGUUCUUAGAUCUCUUUGUCAUUGUGUUUAUUGAUGAUAUUCUGGCUUAUUUCAAAAGUGAGGUGGAUCAUGCUAAUCACCUCCGUGUGAUGUUGCAGACCUUGAAGGAACAACAGUUGUAUGCCAAGCUCCUUAAAUAUGAGUUUUGGUUAAACGCUUUGACUUUUAUUGGUCAUGUUAUUUCUAGUAAGGGGAUCAUAGUGGAUCCUUAAAAGGUGGUGGUGGUUAAAAGAUGGCCUAAACCCACGACUCCAAUUGAUAUUCAGAGCUUCUUGGGUUUGGCUGGGUAUUAUUAGUGAUUUGUGAAAAGCUUUUCAGUGAUAGCUGCUCCUUUGACUAAGUUGGCUAAGAAAAAGGCAAAGUCUUCUUAGUCAGAUGCUUGUGAGGAGAGUUUUGAGAAGUUGAAAGAUAAGCUAACUUCGGUUGAUAUUUCCUGAGGGUAGUGAGGGGUUUCUGGUUUAUUGUGAUGUAUCUAGAGUGGGACUUAGUUGUGUCUUGAUGCAGCAUAGGAAGGUGAUUGCCUCUACUUCUAGGCAGUUGAAGGUGCAUGGAAGGAAUUACCCUACCCAUGAUUUGAAGCCGUUGGUGGUGGUUUUCACUUUAAAAAUAUAGUGGCAUUAUCUAUAUGGAGUGCACAUCAACAUCUUUUUCGAUCAUAAGAGUCUACAAUAUGUGUUAACUCAUAAGAAGCUAAAUCUCAGGCAGAUGAGAUAGUUGGAGAUUCUUAAGUACUAUGAUAUAAGUCUUCACUAUCACCCAGGUAAAGCUAACGUGGUUGCUGAUGCUCUUAGCGGGUUGUUCAUGGGGUGUUCGGCUCUUGUGGGGAAAGAAAAUUAGGAAUUAGUGAAAGAUAUUCACUACUUGGCUAAUCUUAUGAAAAUCAAGAGCAAUAUGAAUAUGCAAAAGGUAAUGGUGUUUGAGAUUUAUGGUGAUGGUACCAUACCAAUGGAGGUUGUAUGUUCCUGAUGUCAAUGGUUUGUGGCAAAGGAUCUUGGCCGAGGCACAUGAGUCGCGCUAUGUUGUACAUCCUGGCUCGAAGAAGAUGUAUCAUGAUCUCAAGAAGAUGUAUUGGCGGAAUGGUAUGAAAAGGGAUAUGGCUGAUUUUGUGUCCAAAUGCAUGGUGUCUCAAUGAGUUAAAGUUGAGCACAUGAAGCCUGGUGGGUUGUAUCAAGAAAUUGAUUUGCCCAUAUGGAAAUAGGAGGUAAUCAAUAUGGAUUUCGUUACCGGACUUCCUCGGUAUCAAAACCAAUUUGAUUCGGUUUGGGUCAUCGUAGAUAGGAUGACAAAGUAUGCUCACUUCUUCCCAAUGAGGAAUACUUUUUUGGCGAAGGAUUAUGCGAAUUUAUAUCUUCACGAGAUUGUGAAGCUGCAUAAGGUACCUAUUUCAAUUAUCUUAGAUCAUGGUACGCAUUUUUCAUCUCAUUUUUGGCGGGGUUUUCAGAAAGGAUUGAGUACUAAGGUGAGUCUGAGUACUGCUUUUCAUCCUCAGACGGAUGGGCAAGUGGAAAGGACUAUUCAGACAUUGGAGUAUAUGCUUCGGGCAUGUGUGAUUGAUUAUGGUGGUAAUUGGGUUGAGCAUCUACCUUCGGUAGAGUUUGCUUACAACAAUAGCUAUCAUUCUAGUAUUGAUAUGGCCCCUUUUGAGGCAUUGUAUGUUAAGAGGUAUAGAUAUCCUAUUGGAUGGUUUGAGCCUGGUGAGAUGGACAUGUUUGGUCCGAAUUUUGUUUAUCAGGAUAUGGAAAAAGGUAAAGGUGAUUCGGGAUAAGUUUAAGGCUGCCCAAAGUCGCCAAAAGUCAUAUACGUAUGUAAGGCAAAGAGACUUGGAGUUUGAGGUUGGGGAUAAGGUGUUCCUAAAGGUAUCUCCCAUAAAGGGAGUAAUGCGAUUUGGUAAAAAGGGGAAGCUCAGUCUCCGGUAUGUUAGUCCUUAUGUGGUUCUGCGAAGGGUUGGAAAUAUGGCUUAUAAAUUGGAGUUGCCUUCUAGUUUGAGCUUCGGUCAUCUGCUAUUUCAUGUUUCCAUGUUAAGAAACUAAAUUGGUGAUCCUUCUUCGAUUGUUACUUUAGAGAGGUUAGGUAUCUCAAACUCUCUGUCUUAUGAAGAGGUCCUGAUUGAUAUCUUGGAUAGGCAGGUUCGUCAGUUGCAGACCAAGGAUGUGGCUUCGGUUAAGGUUCUUUCGCGAAACCAUAAGGUGGAAUAAGCUACAUGGGAAGCGGAGGAGGCCAUGAAAUCCAAGUAUCUGCAUUUAUUUUUGCUCUUGGGAUUCUUGCGCAAGGUAUGUGUUCUUCAACACAUCUUUAUUUUCUAAGUUUUUUAAAGAAAAGAUUAAUAUCUUUGCAUCUUUGUUUUCAAACUUUGUUAAAUAUUGGGAAUAUAUUUGAUGAUGCAAAUGACUCGCGCGUGUGGUUACCCCCACCUUGUCCGUCAUUCAGGGAUAAAUGUUUCUAGUGGGGAGGUUGAAACACCCUGAUUUCUGGACCUUAGAAAAUUUUCUUGAUUUUUCGUUUAUGGGUAAGAUAUGACUUAGGGGAAUGAUCCAUACACUUGGGUACAGGUGGUAUGGUCCAAUUGUAUGCUGACCAAUAUUGGUUGAUGGGAUGGAUUUAGUUACUGGAAUGGAUACGAUUUGGGUGGUACAGUCGUAUAUGUGGAUAUGGGUUGUUUGGUUACUUCACUUAACAUUAGACUUGGUAACUUAAGUUGGAUCUGAGUACGAGUGGCUCACCAUGAACCGUAAGCCAGGGUAUGAGUUGUACCAUGGACUCAUAUGGUGGUAGUGUUCAGUCCUCUUAGGAUUCUAUUCUACCAGGAGUAUGGUUUAUGGGUACUAGUCGUACACUUGGAUACGACUUAGGUUUGGGUGUGUCGUACCUUGGACAGUGUUGGGUCCAAGGGGGAAAGCCUAGGGUACGAGAGGUGGGUACCACUCGUAUAGAAUGGGUACGACUCGUAAGGGUCAAUCGUACCCAAUGAUGGGAAUUAAGUGCUAUUUAAGUGAGGGCAAUCUGAAUAUUUCCCCACUUAUCCUAAUAAGGUCCCACGAAUUAUAUUGCAGUUGGGAGGUUAUUUUCCCUACUAUUUUAUUCUUAAACACUUAGAAAACAAUCUUAAAUCCUCUCUAGAGUUCUUAGGCAAAGGAAGCUAGGGUUUCAUCUUAAGAAGUAAAUAAGGGCUUGUCUUAGUGAUUUCUCUCCAUCAUCAUCUUCGUUUAAGGCAUGUUCUCUUCCCUCCUUGUUAGUUCCAACUAAAGGAAUGGAUUUUAUACAAUGUUUUCAUGAUUUGAAUGUUGUAUGAUUUUGAGUUUUCAAAUAUAAUUUGGGGGUUUGGUUAUAAAUGCUUGGUUAUGGUUUUCUCAUGUUUUAAUUAUGCUUUAUAUGUAUUAAUGGUGGUUUUGGAUAAUUGGUUGCAUGGGAAUGGUUGUUGGUAAUUGGCUUUGGUUUUGGAAAUACUAUGCCCCCAAUGUGUUUAAUAAAAUGCCUAUAACAAUGUUUUCACCAUAAUAUUGGGUUUUCAAUGGAACUUAUGCAUGGUUUAAACUUGGUAAUAGAACCCUAAAUGAUAUGAAUGGUCUAAAUGGUUUUGGAAUGGUUUGGCUUAUUAAACAUACUUGUGGGGUACAAGGGAAUCCCCCAAGUUAAUAUGGUAAUGGAUACUUGUGGUGUACAUGAGAAUCCACCAAGUUAAUUAGAUAAUAGGGUCUAUGGGUACAUGGGAAUUACUUGACCACUAAAAGGUUUGGCUAAGGACUAUACUUGCAAGUCAUAGACAGUAAGACAAUACCAAUACUAAUAUCCUUGAUUAAUAAUAAUGAAAUAAUAUUUUGGUUGGAAAGUGAUUUUAAUUAGGCAAUAAUGGCGGGGUGUGAAAGCUAACCGUUAAAGUGGGAGUCCAAUAAACACUGGAAACUCAUGCUUGCUGACAUAAGGGGUAGGUCAUGGCGAUCUUAUAUGAUACUUAUAAAGUACGCGAGAAUCUUUUAGGUACACUGUACAUAUGUAUCAUGGAGAGUGAAGGGUACAUGGGAAUCCCCGGCUCUUAUGGUAUCUCCGUUUCGUGCGGCUACACGCAUAGGGGCCUGUUCAGGGGGCUACACUGGACCAUAUAGCCCGUGGGUGGUUUUAGGACGGUUAAGCUUCACCUAUCCAAGUUAAAGGUUUUAAAUGCAUGCUAAACCCGAUUCCUUUUUCUGGCAUGGUUAUAUAUAUAUAUAUAUAUAUAUAUAUAUAUGUAUGUAUGUAUGUAUGGGUUAUGUGCAUAUGGAUAGUUUUAUUUGGUUUUCUUAAAUGUCAUUAUUUUAUCCUUAUACUGAGUUCAUGCUAGAGUUCACCCACUAACCCAUCUUCGAGUGACUGUAUCCCCAUGCGAUAAAGAACCAGCCGUUCUACUCUUCCUGCUUAGCAUUCGGACAUUCGGGGGUCAACUUUUGAUUGAAGUGGUGAGUUUUCAUUUUUCUGGAAGGCUCGAUUUCAUAGAUAUUAUUUCAUACUUUGGAUUAUUAUGGAUAUUGGUUUUGGCUAUGAUUGGGGGCAUGUCCCAACCGGAUCUUGGUAUUCUUUUUGUUAGAGGCUUUUGUGGAACUACUAUGGGUCAAAAUGGGCGGGAUCGGUAUGGGUGUCAGCCUUAGCAUUGGUAUUGUUGUUGGGGCUGACACGGCUACCUGCAUUGUUGGUUGUUCCAUCCUCUUUUAUUUUGGGAUUAUAUAUUUAACUAUUAAUGGAACUUAUUUGGUUAUGGUCGGAUUUCUAGUUUUGGUCUGUCUUGGUAUGGCUGGAUGGUUGGUAUGAGACGGUUUGACUCAAUUGGGUCAAUCAUGAUCGUGACCCUAUCCCAGAGUCUUCACAUAAGCCAUUACGCUAUUUUGUUAUAUGCUUGAAAUUCAGGGCAAACGACUGGAGGUUGGGUUGGGCUUUGGGGGUGGUCUCCGGUCCUGGUCGAACUUGGGGACGCCCAUUAUGACAAGGCCCCUGGUCGGGUUGUAUCACCUAGUUUGGCUUGAAGGGAGGAAAUCACCUCUUUCUUUCUCUGUAAUGCUAACUGUCGAGUGUUUUCUAAUUGAUGACGGACAUAGGAUAAUAUUAAUCUGAAUAAUCAACUUUGGGGUGACCUAAAUGACGUAGUUUUGGUGUUAAAAGAAUGGGAAAAGACUAUAAAUCCCCUUAUAAAAUGUGACUAAAAAUCUACAAAAUUGAGUAGUAUGGACCAUCCUAUGAUCGUUGGACCGACCUAUGAUCGUGUGUGGUGUUCGUUUGGACCGACCUAUGAUCGUGUGUGGUGCUCAUAGUUGAGUGGUUGCAUGGGAGGCUCUCUGGACUUGAUCAUAUGAUCCAUGGUAUAAUUUUGGAAUACAUCUAAGCCGUACUUUGGUUCAUAGGUUGAAAGUCCAAGCCAGAUUAGUUUUAGGACUCACGAUCGCACUUUAGAUCAUGGUUUUAAACCAAGACCGUAGGUGUACUUGUAAUUUUCAGGUGUUUGGGACUGUUUCAAUCAUAUGAGAGCAUUGUACGAUCAUACAAUCUCACCAAGAUCAUACCUACACUCGUAGGUUCUCACCGUUGGAUAAUGUCUCACUAAAAUAGCCAUAACUCUUAGCUCUAGAACCAGAUUAAGGUAAAACUAGAUUCAUUAGAAAGAAGACUCAAAUACCUUUCAUUUAGUUGGUUUUGAGCUAAAAAAUACUUCAAAAUAUAUGAGUUGUGAUCUUUUAAAAUAUACUAUAAAAGGAUUCUUCAUAAGAAAUCAAUCGGUAAGGAAUGUUUUAACUUGGCGUUGAGCUAGGAGUUACUUAUGGCCUUAAUACAUGUCUAAAUCACUUCUCAUACUACCAAAAUAUGAUGUUUAUUCUAUAUGUACUUGAAGCAUGGUUCUAAUAUUAGGUUGAAAUUUUAGGGUGUUACAAUCUUUCUCUAUGUUUGUAGCUUGGGGCGCAUACUCACGAACAAGAAACUUUACACCUGCAAAUGCUGCUGCACCAACUAGUUUUGCAUGUUGGAAAUGUCUCUGAACGAUCCCUCAAAAUUUAUUUGGGACCUCAUAGAAAUAAAUCAAAUAUAUUACUAGGUUAUUUUGAUGUUUCGGACUCAAUGAUAAUGUCAGAUUUUUAAAAAGAGGCCGUUUAAUACAAAUUAACCCCUAGGAUCCGUAAAAGCUUAUUUUAAAACUACUUUUUGAACAAAGAGUCAAAAUACCAAAUAAAUAUUCCAAACCGAAAACAACCCCUCUACUAACCCAAGAUCGAUAUUUCAAGUUUAAUAAGACUAUCCAAAUCGCCAUUCGGUGCUCAAAAGAUAAAAUAUUGACUGAAGUCAAACUUAUGACUUUUAAAGUCUUCUAGAGUCUUAAAUUCUCCCAAAUCAUUCUCAAAUGUAUUGGGGAUCAUGCCAACCAUCUCCAUACCUUAUAAUCAGCAUGUAACAACCAUGAAAAAUAGAAAAAUGGUCAAAACACAUAAAAAGGAAAAAUUUAACACCUCAGGUUGUUACAAAAAUAAAGUUUAGUGAGUGUCUAGGUGAAAUAUAUUGACAAAUUUUAAAAAUAGACUAUUAUUUCUUGUUCUUAUAUUAGUUUAUUCUGUCGAAUGUUUUUGUUCUUGAGUUGGGAGUCUUUCGAAAACAACCCCUCUACCUCACCUUUGAGGUAGUGGUAUUGAUACGAGUCAAAUGUCCACCUUAGCUUUUGAUGACAUCUUUGAAGGCCAACACCUAAAGGCUCAAGACUUGGUCACCCCAAGAGCACAAGGAUACACAAGGAAGGAUCAUUUUGAGCAUGACUUAAAGCAAUCUCGGGUGUGGAAGGUUGCUUGGUUGCUUACAUUGAUGCUAACCCGAGAAUCACAAGCCUUGAAGUAUGAACCAUACUCGGUUUUUGAGAGCAUUGAAAAGGCGUCAUUCAUUCAAGUUAUAACAUACCUUGGUUGCCCCUACAUUAAAGGUAUUUUAUACAUUAAAUAUGGUGUAUUUACACACCAUGGCAGCCCCUCUCAUUAAGGGCAAAGUGGUAUUUUUAUCUUCAUUUGUAAUAUAUUAUAAAUAGGCCCCUUUAGACUUAUUUUUCACUAGUUUUGGAAGAAUGAAAGAUUAAAACACAAAUCCUCUCUCUUGAGAGUAGAACACUUUAGGUAAUCUUAGUUUAGGGCUUGGAAAAGCUAAUAUUGAUCUUUGCUUGGAAACGAUGAAUCUUGAGGUGAGUUGAUUCCCUUGGCAGUCACCGUAAAAGUGUGGUUUGAAUUAUUACAUUCAUUAGGGGUUUUUGAGUUUAAUACACUCUUUAGUUCUUAAUAUUGUGAUAAUCUUGAUCUCACUAUCCAUCCUUUACUUUUGUUGUUGUUAUCUUGUGUAGUGGACUGUUUUGGGUCCUUUAUUGAAUCCGAAACUUGUGUUAUUGUUGUUCAUCUUGUUCAUCACGCUUUGUAGUUGUUUUUUGGUGAUAUAUACAUCAUUGUAUCUUGUAUUCUUCUUGUUGAUAGCGAAUCCGAGAGUGGUCUCCAAAAAGGUCCUCGGAUCCUUAAAAUUUGCGGAUUGUUUUGGAGUUAUUUCGUGUUUCUCUUGUCUUUAUUGUAUCAGGUAUGGAUUGUCUACAUUUUACCUGCCUCAAACUCUAUUUUGUGGGCAUAUAAUGAGUAUGUUGUUAUUGUUGUUGUUGUUGUAUUAAGGACCCAUUUUGUCAUGCAAGAUGAAAUCAUUAUUUGAAAUCAUGAUCAUAUGUAACACCCCGAAAAUGGGUCCCGAGACGUCACACGGUGCUCAAGACUACGAGUAGCCUUAAGCUAACCUUAUAAGCCAUCUACUAAAUCUGAAACUCAUAAUAAGGAAGUACAGAUAUACAAUCAAGCUAAAAUGCAGAAUUCUGUAUGAGCUAAGCUGAAAAUAUCGAAAUAUAAUAUUUGAAAAUACUAAACUCAAGAGUCUGAUCAAUCAAUACUGAAAAUCUGAAGCAUAUCUAGCAGUCUGACAAGCCUCUACCACUAAUGCUAGAGUGUCACUGGGACAAACCCCCAGCUGACUCGAACUGUCUAAAAAUACUGAAUCAUCUAAACUAAUAAGCUAAAAAACUGAAUGACUAAGUCCCCGAACUAUGAGGACUCACCAACUAUCGGGAUGUAAUGGAGAUGCUCAAAAUCACUCACGUUGCUGAAACUGAGCACCUGGACCUACAUUAUGAGACAAUGUAGCACAUAGACGUAUAUGUGGAUCAGUACUUCUGGAUUGUACUGAGUAUAUGGGAGUGAAUGCAUAAGUAAAUCAAUAUCUCAAUAUUAUUAUAAAUUUGUAAAAGAAUGCAUGCUAAAUGUAGAUGACUCACAUAAGCUGGAAUAUCUAAAAACUAAAAUCAUAAUCACAUAAGCUGGAAUAGAAAAAUAUGGUUCAUAGAUCUACUGAGUCAUAACAUUUAGUUUCUAAAAGUUGUACUUGUAUUCUAUCUUAAAAUCAUGUUGUCCAAGUGUAGAAAAGACUCACUUUUACAUAUGAAAUCUGAAAGCUAACAUCUGUAACUAAUGUUUCAUACAAGGCAAAAUCUGAAUAAAGUUUGUGAGCCUUUACACUUAGUUUCUAAAAGCUUUUAUGUUAUUCUUUACUCUUUUCUGCAAGUUGUAUGGAGGUUCUUCUAACCGACAUACACUAUGUGAGUUAUCAUAGUGUCCAACGUCUAGUUCCCUUAUGGGAAAACCUCAAGUUGGGGAGAGGUGUCAUGCUCUUGCUAAGGAGUAUAACCUAAUCUAAGUGAUCACACCUGUAACUGUCAUCCAUAUAGAAAUGAAAACAAUCUGAUAAUUUGUACCUACAUUGAUUCGUAGUUCUGAGGCAUGUAAAUAUACCCAACUCGGUACUAAAUACUACUCCCUUUAAAUCUGUAUGCUCAUUCUGUAGGAAAUUCACUUUUAAAAACUAAUAUAAGAGUUUCUAAUGAAAACCUCUUGUAAAUCUGUUUAUUAUAAACUGUAGCUAAAUUUGUAAAGUGGAUUCCAUAUCUAAGCUGAGAUCAAAAGAUCAAAUCUUUAUUCAAAAUCUAAAUAUAACAAAUCAUGGGAUGCUUAAAAGCAUAAUCUUCUUAAAAUAACAACAUUCAAAGUAGGGCUAAUAACCCAUACAUUAAAUUCAUGUCAAAUCAUAGUAAAGUUCAUGCUUAGUAAUGAAAGCAUUGAAAUUCAAUUCUAAAUCUGGAAAUUUAUAUCAUACGCAUGAAAAUAUGAAAGUAAACAUGCAAUUCAACCUCUAAAUCACUUGUAAUCUCAUAAUCUUGCAAAUAUCAAUAUUGGGUAUGAACCCUAAUUUGAAUCUCAUGUAAUUUCAUAUAAAACUCAACUUCAAAACUAAUUUUGGGCACAAGAAUGAAAGGAUUAUCAUUGUUGAAAAAACCCACAUACCUUAAUUGAUGAUUAGAUGGAGAAACUUGAACUUUUAGUUCCUAUUUGUGCUCUUGAAGAUAGAUUCUUGAAGUUAUUGAAUUGGUAAUCUUUAAUUUUGAGCUAUCUUGGAAAAAGAAUGGUGGAAUUUGGAUUUCUUGGGAAUGAAGGUUUGAAGUUCUAGGGUUUCUUCGAGAGAAAGUUGAUGAAAAGUGAGCAUAAUAGGCUUAGAAUAGGUUUAAUCCUCUGUUAUUCGCGAUUUGGGGGUUUGGAAAAAGACUAAAUUGCCCUUUUAAAAUUUUACUCGAAACUGGAAAUCCCAAUUUUGCCUCCCACAGCGAUGCGCCGCUAUCGUGGUGGCUUACUGAAAAAAGGACGAUCACCAUUUCGGCCUCUGGCAUGACGCGACGUAAUCGCGUUGCGUCACUAGAAAAGAACGAGUGCCAUUUUGCACUCCACCACGAUGCGGUGUCUGUCUAAUUGAAAAUUUUGAUGCGAUAUAGGCUAAUUGCGGUAAGUUACUGGAAUGGAACGAACGGUAACUGGAGCUUCACCGCGACGCGGGCCAAUCGCGAUGCUUUACUGAAAUCGGACAAUUGUGAAUUUGUCCUUCAUCGCGACGCGGUGCUUAUUGUGGUGAUCUACUGCUUUUACUAAAAUCACCAUAACUUCUUAACCGAGUAUCGGGUUUAGGCGAAUUGGUAUUGUUGGAAAGCUGAUCAAUUAUCUACACAUUGGUGGGUCUAGAACUUGAAAAUUCUACACGCAUCAAGAGUUGUACACUUUCAAAGCUAACCCUUGACACACUAGGCGCUAAAUUGAGCUAGGAAAAGUAUGGGGUAUUACAUCAUAUGAGAUAGUAUAAUCAUUCUUUUACAAUCUUACAAAAUAAGCAAAAGUUCAUAAAGAAGAUAUGAUACACUAACACAAAGCUAUUCUAAAAAAAUUGCAACAUUUAUUAAUCAAACUUUUGUUCAACUAAAAGUAAAAAUGAACAUGAGUUGUAGUUUAGUCCUCUUCAACAGAAUCCUCCUACAUAGCAUGGAUAAUCUCCUCACAUUGAGCAAGUAUUUCGAAAGGACGAAACAUCAUUGUUAUUUUGAUCCAUUAGUUGGUGAAGAUCAAGAGUAAUAAUACCAACUAUAAGUGAAUUGUAAUUCACAAGAAAGUAUAAUACACUAUCAUAAAUCUAUUCUAAAAAAACACAGUACUUAUUGAUCGAACUUUAGUUCAAUAAAAGAUAAAAUUUGUGGUGUAUUCUCUAAUAUAAACCUCCUACAUAGCACGGACAAUCUCCUCAUGUUGAGCAUGUAUUUAUCGAUCAGAUGACCGAGAAUACAAAACGAUAUUGUUACUUUGAGCCAUUUGUUGGUCGAGAUCAAGAGUAAUAAUACCAACUAUAAGUUAAUUAUUAACAUCUGCAAUAAAUGGUUGGUUUAUAUAAAAAGGUGAAAUUUCUUACAAGAUAUAAUCUUGUGGGUUAAUGUUUAUAUUAAAAAAAUAAAAUCAUGAUAUAAAAUCGCAUGUCCAAACACUAAUUUCAUAUCAUGAUCUCAAAUUACAAGAUGAAAUCACAUAUUCAAAUUCCUACUAACUAAAUGUAUAAUAAUUUUGACGAACACCAUAUUUUUUUUUGACGAAAACCCAAUUCUAUUGCUCCGACUUGGUAUUAGGUAACUUAGAUAAAAUUUCUCAUUUUUAACCUCCUCUUCCCCUUCUAGUUAUUCUUAUCCAAAAAUCCUACGUGUUCGUUAUAAUUGUCAUAUCUUUAUCCGAGUUAAUAAAUACCCCUAGAACAAAAAACAUAUGUGUUAUGAAUUUGAAUCAUCAAGAAAAUAAAAUAGAAAGAGAGCUUUUAAGAUAUUUUUUACUUUUUAGAUAUAAAUGUGAUAUUUUGGGGGGCAAUAAACUAUAAAUUAUUACCAUACCAUCAAUCAAUUACACCUAAGAGCGUCUAUACCCUUGGUUGUCAAAAAACAAAAUUUAGUGAACCUCAGAGCUAAUUAUAAAUUGCAAAAAGUAAAUGACUACACUAUCUCCUUCUCUUAGUUCCUUUGAACAUGUCUACCCUUUCUUUAACUACACUUUGGACUUGUUGAGCCACAAAAUUUGUCUGUACAAUUACCCCUUUUAAAAUUUUGUAAUUCCUAGUUAGCCAUGCUUGAUAUACUACUGCUCUUUAUCCUUUAGGGUGUCUUGCACACAUUGUGGUUCCAAAUUUAUUCCAAUAUACGUUUUAAUUACCCUUCAAGCAUCCCUAAACUAUAUACAUUCAGGACGCGCAUAAGUAUACAUUACACAUUCAACAUUACCCUAUCCAGCACCUAUCAUCUACAACCUAUCUUUGAAAUGUCAUCAAAUGGUUCAAAUGUCAUCAGGUUGUGAUCUUUUCUUUCUCAAAUGCAGCCUGAGUUUGGUUGACUAAACUAUGUAGCACUUGUUUAAGUCUACUAUACAUCAAUUUGGAGAUAUAUUUGCACACAAUAUUAAAGCAGGCAAAUGGUGAACUAACUUGCAUUUACAUGCUUAUUCACCUCAGGAAUUAAGAUGAUUACUAUGGCAUUAAGUUGUUGCAACAACUUACUAUUCUAAAAAAAAUCCAGAAUUACAUCUGUUAGCUAUGCCCUUACUAUAUCCCAAGAGUCUCUGAGGAAACCACUAUUAUAGCUUUCUUUACUUUCUUCAUUUUAUAACCAUUAAGUAAUGUCAUUUGUUAGGACACUAUCAAAAAACCAUAGAUAGUGUAGUCCCAAUCUUUAGGAACAUCUGGCAAGCUUUAUGUCUUGGUGUUUUUCCUAUUUCUCCAAGAAGUUUAGUGCAGUUCUGGAGAAAGAUCUCAAUAAUCUUUUGUGGCUCAGUAUGGGUUUACGUAUGAUCAUCUUGCAAUUGUAUCACUACCUGAGCUAGGCUUCUCUACUUUAGAACUGAGUAAAAGUACUUAGUAACAUCACCAAGCCAGAUCUAUGUAGCUUUGCUUCUUUGAACCAAUUGUUUUUCUGCCAUAUAACUCACUUUCUUGAACUCUUUUCCAACAUCUCUUUCUCCUUAUGCAAGUGAUGAUUACGGGUAUCAUUUUGUAACUUGUUAUGGACAUCUAAUAGCUUCCCUCUAAGGUCAGUUACUUCAGCCAAUAUAUUACUUAAAUGCUAAAAGUGUAUCCCCUCAGUACAAUUUUCAGCUUCUUAAGUUUAGUGGUGACUUUAUAUAUAUAAUGGCCUUUGACCUGGUACAGUUAUCCCUCUCUCAUCAUACAAUGGCCUUUGACCUGGUACAGUUAUCCCUGUCUCAUCAAGUUCUGAAACUAUUGGUGUUGACUCUACAUAUUAGAGUACUUAAAAAGAGGUCUUUUCCUUGGCACAAUACCUUCAAGUUUAACAUGAAUUGAGCUAUGGUCACUUACCCCUUCAUUGAGGAAAUAAUAGUUACACCUAAGCAUCUCAUCUACCCAUACACUAUUUAUUAAAGACCAGUCAAUAAUACCCUAUUAGUUUCUCCUUUAUCAUUCCAAGUUUAAUUACACCUAGUACUAUCUAUUUCCUCUUACAAACAAGUAUUUAGGCAUUUUUGAAAAUCAACUAGCUCUGCUAAAGAGACAAGGUUGCCCCCUACUCUAUCCCCACUAUGCUAUACUGAAUUGUAAUCCCAUAAAACCAACCAAGGGAUGUGCAUCCCAAUACUCAACUUACACAAAUAACUUCAUAGGUCUUUUCUUUCCCCUCUUCCAUUGUGGGCAUGUACAAAAGUGACAUGAAUUUUUGUUGUAGUUUAAAAUCUUUGACUAAGCAUGUCACAGCUUGAGCAUUCUUAGAACAAAUAGUAACUUCAGGUUUAUCUUCUCUCCAAUCAACCCAAAUUCUCCCAUUAUAGUGAGAGACGCGAUCAGAGUGAUACUUUUAGCCACUAAACAUACUAUCUGCUAUAUUUAUCUUAGCCUCAAGUAGACCAAAUAUAUAAGUUUUAACUGAUUACAGAAGAAUUUUACCUCGCUUUAUUUUAUGAGACCUCUAACAUUUCAACAGAUUAGGUUAACUAGUCCCCACAGAGAUUGGUCUAGUAUCAACCAUAUUUUUCACUCCAGUGUAUUCCACUUCCACAUGCUGCUCAAAGGUUUGAAAAGAGUUUGUUGUAGGAAUUGUUGAGGAAGAUGGAGGUUGUACAUUUCUCUUAAACACUCUCCUCUGAAUUCUAUUUCCUACAAUUUUUGCUCUUGGACCUUUUUCUUCCCUCUACCAACUUGAGUUGCAAUUGGUUUCCUCUCCAGCUGGUUACCUUUGGAUCUAGUUGCUUUUCGAGGUGUAAUUUCCUACAUUCCUCUAUUUUAUGACUAUACAUAUGAUAGUGUUCACAUAUGGAAGGCUUCCAAUCAUAAGUCACCUUCUGUGUGAGCCACUACUCUCUUUUCAUUCUUAAACAACACUUCAUCAGGAAAAUCUCCAUCCACCCUGACCUCAACAAGUAGCUUUCCAAAGCUUAAGCCCAGUUUUUUUAGGGUGUUGGUCAACCAUCAAAGGCUUCCCCACUAAGCUGCCUAUCUUACUAAGUCCUCUAACACUCUAGUAUUUAAAAUCUAAUCUGGAUAGCUUAAUCCAUAUAGGAACAGUCAAUAAUUACUCCUUCAAAAACUCCAUCUCUUGGGACUAAGCUUUGAUAAUAAGAGGUUUAUUGUCAAAAUAGUAGUUACCUCCUUGUAGAAUCUUUAAUUUACCCUCUUCUGUGUCAAAUCGAACCAAAACAAUACCAUAUUUCCCCAUAUAUCCAUUGUAUGUAACUAUUUAAGACAAAAAGGGAGGGUGAUAUCCUAGGACUUAACAGACAAUAAUGCUUUGCCAAUGAUCUAAUUCAGAGCUAAUAUCAUCCAAUUAAAUUUCCCCUAUCAGUUCGUCUCCUAUACUCUCAGGGUUAACAUAUUACAGUUUGAAACAUGAAUUAGCAAGUUUUGAUAUGUCGAAAGUUUUCCAAAUUGAAUUUACCUUCACAACAUGCCUUUUCUCAGAUCCCCUCAUCUGUGUGCCCCUAUUUAGCUGGUCAUCAACUUGAUCCAUCUCGUUUCCUCAUGAUAUUUUUGAACUUGCUCCAGAGAUAUGUUAUGUCCAUUCUUAGACUGUAGCUUCCACCAGAGUAGGAGGUAUCACUGGUGUAGAUAAAUUAGUUUGGGUCAUAAUUCUCGUGAUACUUUAUUGGUCAAUAAUCGCUAUUGCUCCAUGAGGCUUUGUUGGAAGAGGACCUCAAUUGAUUGACGUUUCCGAAUAAGAAUUGGAUGAUCACUUUUCACCGACAAGCUUGCCAUUGAACUUUUCGUCAGGGUUGCGUUCUUCGAUCUCCUCCCAUGGCUGGCGCACGUUAGUUACGUCAAAACAUCCACAUGUUAUUAUUAUUUAAAAUAUAAAAAAACUACAUAAACUAAC
Molecule: long non-coding RNA, 65320 nt
Filed under: Capsicum annuum
Lineage: Eukaryota; Viridiplantae; Streptophyta; Magnoliopsida; Solanales; Solanaceae
Description: long non-coding RNA (CANN_LNC005488)
Source: RNAcentral